Molecule: long non-coding RNA, 69557 nt
Filed under: Capsicum annuum
Lineage: Eukaryota; Viridiplantae; Streptophyta; Magnoliopsida; Solanales; Solanaceae
Description: long non-coding RNA (CANN_LNC016517)
Source: RNAcentral
UGAUGACUAGUAAUAGUACUUGGUCUUAUUAUUCUUAUAUAUUCUUAUUUUAUUAUGCAUCCAAGAUAAUCUAUUGGGGUUUAAGUUCUUGGGAAUUACUAUCAGUAAUCCCAAUAGUUUCAUCUUCAGUUUCCUUGAUCAUCAUCUCAAGGUGCAUAUCAGUACCAAUAUCAGCAUACUCAGUUGGCAUUUUGUCCCAAUCUAGGGUUGGCUCCCAAUCAGCCUUUUUUAUUACAUCUUUGAUUUUAUCAAACAAAAUCUUACUUCCUUCUGCCGUUAAAUGCAUUCCAUCCCUGCACAAAUAAAAUUCAAACUCCACCAUUUAAUAUUAAAUUCUUUCAAGAAUACUUUAACGCACAAUUGUUACGAUUUUAAGGUAAUUACGUAUAUAUCUCUUAGUAAGUACGUAUUAUAAAUUAGUAUUUCAUAAAAAAGGAAAAUAACAUCUGUUUAUUUUUAAAAAUGCUUUUUGUUAAAGUAUUUUUCUAACAAAUAUUUUUUAAGAGUAACAAUUUGCAAAAUACGUUCGUUAAUUAGUGUUUGAUCAAGGUUCCAAAAGUUUCUAAAUACUCUUUUUUCUUAACUAACUUCUAAUAUACAGUUUCUUAUACUACUCACAAGGAUUUUGUAGACACAUUUUAUGCACUUUUAACUUCUCAAAACUUGACUAAACAGACCGAAAUUCACUAAUUAUGUAAAAAAAAAAAAAGGACAUUGUCGGAGCACAUAUAUACUGCUUAGUUUCCUUUUGUUCAAAAAGAAUUAUGAUAAUAUUAUUGUUAAUACUACAACUACAACAUUACAAUAAAACCAAAAUUAAAGAGUACUAGUAGGAAAUUUGAUUACCAAAAGACACCAGGUUUUCCGUAAAGGGCUUCGAAGAAAUUGAUAACUGGAACGCCUAAUUCUUGGCCUAAUUUAACACCUUCUUCUGCGUAUUUUCGACCGACCUCAUUUGAUCUACCUCGGUUAUCCCUAAUCAGAACAGAAAUAGGUAUAAAAUAUCAGUUAUCUCUUUUUUUUAAAAUUGAAUAAGAAAAAAUAGGUAUGUAUUUUUAUUUUAAAUGAGCAAGUAAACAUGAAAGGAGUUAGUAAUUGUUGAGAUUAAUCACCCAUAGGUUUUAAGAAUUUGUUCCUCAUUAACUGCAGGAGCACUAAGCAUAAUUAGACGAGUCUUCUCUGAAAGGCCCUGCAAGUAAAGGGUUUCAAAUAAUGAUAAGUUUAUAACUGUUCCAUAUAGAUAAAAACUUUAACUUGUUUGCAUUCGAUAUUUAUAUCAAAAAUAAAUAUGUAUAAUAUGUGUUUUCACAUAAAAUGAUAAAUUAUUGUAAAUUAAUAAGCAUUGAAGUACUUAAUUAUAGUAAAUCAAUAUGAUUUGAUGUAAAGGUGUACCUAUUUAAUGCGAAUAAGUAUUUAUUUGUCAAAUUUUAACUUUAAAGGUUUCAUACAUACCUUGAUAUGAUGUGCAAGCUUCCUCAUGUUUUCAACAUAUUCAUGAAGAGGAACAUGACUACUAUUAGGAAAAUCGGGAUCUUGUGAAUCAUUUCCACCAAAAUAAAGUAUGACAAGAGAAGGUUGAAUUUCCCUAUGCCUGUCCCGACAAUGUUCCUUUGGAAAAAUUUUCUUGUAAACUUCAAGAGCCAUCCUUGAGUUCCAACCAAUAUAUCCACGUAAGAAUAUAUCUGCCUGUUUCAAUUAAUAACUAGAUUAAUUUGUAUUAAAAGGGCACAAUUAUCUCGCAUUAGCUGAAUUUAGAAAAGGAUGACACCUCAAAAGAAAAAUAAUUUACUCUAAUUCGGGCAUUAGUGAAUGCUUCCAUAGUUCCAAUCCGUGAUCUAAAAGUCCCACAAUAUUAAUUACAACUUCUUAAUUAUUUGAGAUUUUAGAUUAUGGCAAAGAUUAGUCCAAUUCCGCAAUAGAUUUGUCAAUCUUAUGACAGAUAUACUUAGAGAGACUCUUUAGUUAUUACUCCUUUUGAUCUUUGAUUUUCGUGCUUAUUACAAUUUAUUGAUCAAAAUUAAUUAUUAUUUAAUAAAUUAAAAUAUAAUUGAUUAUUAGCUUCUAUCUUUAUUGAUCUUUCUUAAUAAAUGUGUAGAAAGAUUCACGCAAUGAAAAGAGAGAAGAACAAAUUGAAAUAAAAAUUUGAAUAAUUUAAUCAAAUUACUUUUUGUAGUUAAUAUUUACUUCAACGCAAUGCAAAAUUUUAAAUACAACUAGAUCAUAGUUCAAUUUGUAUCUGUAGGGAUGGAAAUAAUCUUAAUGUUAUUGGUUCAUUUGAUUUCGGUAAUUUUAGCUCUAACAGUGUGUGUGUGUUAAUUUUUGUAAAUAUAUAAAUAAUAGAUUUUUCAACAUAGUAAGUUUAAUGGAUUGUAAUAAAAUUUCAAACUUAAACCCAUAAAAUUCAAAUUCUAAUUUGUUAAUAUGCAUAUGCAAUUCUCUCUUCUUAGUCCCUCGGUUUCACUUUAUUUGUCGGAGUUGUACUAGGUGUGAAGUUUACGAAGAAAGAAACUUUUUGAAACUUAUAAUUUUAAAAAUAUUACUAUGUCGAUGUGACCAUAAAAAACAUGUUAUUAUGAGUAAAACGUAAAUAUAUAAAUUAGAAACACAAAAAGAUGUAUCUAAAGUCUAAAUUUUAAAUUUGCCACUGCAAACUCGAUUCACGCAAAAAACAAGGAUGGAAGAGAUUACCUUACGAGCGUAACAGGUUGUGAGGGUUGCACCCCAACCAUUAAAGAAGUAGCAUAGUUGCACUAUUGAAGAACCAAAUAAGACGAUCAAUGGACGACUUGGUCCAACCAUUCUUUUUUCUUCCAUCUUUUUUCCUUACCAAAUAAAAGAUUUUUCUUUUUAAUGUUGGAAAGAGUUCCAUAUACUUGCUAUUUAUAAUGGUGGAUUCUUACAAAAGGCAAAAUUCAUUCCUCCACGUGCAUAUACAUAUCAGUAUAGUAUUCUCCCAUCUAUUUUGCUUGUUUAUGGUUCUAAUUAAAAGUUGAUAUCUACUUUUACUUAUUCAAUUUAAAAAAUUAAGAGAUAAUUUAUUUUUUAUACCUGAUUUAUUCUUAUUAUUAAUAUUAUUCAGAUUCCUAUAUAAUGACUUAUACUAAAUAUGAGUGAUAUAGUAAAUUAUUAUUUUUAUUAGUUGUUUCUUAAGAAACAUAUCAAAUCAGACAUGUAUAAGUGAAAAUAGACAGAGAGAAUAAUAUAAUACGUUAUAAUAGUCGUUUUCAAAUUCAAGAAUAUAAGUGCAUCAGUACUUACUUUAAAAAAAGAUAUUUGAUUCAAUUAUAUAAAGUUACGAUGACAACACGUUGAGAAGCAACCUUUAAAUAAUAUAUUAGCAAAAAACAGCAUUCACUCUACAAUUGUUCUUGAGAAAUUUUCACAUUUUAAAAAAAAUUAAUAAUAGCAUCACUAUCUACACUUUUUAAGUAGACUGCAAUAACAAACUAAACAACCAUUAAAACAUCUUCAUUCAUCCUACUAUGAAAGUCAUUUUUAUGUACUUCAUCAAUGUGAAUGUUUUUUUCAUCCUUGCAGUAGCAAUAGAUUAAAUCUAAAUCAGUUUCAUAAGUAGAUAAACAAUUGACCAAGUUUUUAGCAAGAUCCUUAAUUCCUUUUGAAUAGAAAAAUUUGUUGUUACAUUUUUGAACAUAGACAAUGAAACUAUCGAACUAGAAACCAAAAUUCCAAAGCUUGCUUAACACCAAUCCCACUGGAUAAUACUCGAUUAGUUUUAUUAUUCUAUUCUUAUGAAAAUGAGCAAAUGAAUCAAUUGAACUUAAACUAGUUAUAUAAAAGAAUAAGUCAUGAACAUUUUGAUAUAAUUAUUACAUCAAAAUGAUCAUUAAGUUCUUAAAAUAAGAAACCACUAAUGGCGUAAAGAGAAGCAAGAAACACAAAGUGCGUGUUUAAUUUAUAUAUUCAAUAUAAAGGAUGACAACAGUUGGGAAUAGAAAUUUAAAAGGUGAAAGUCCAACAGCUUGGAAAUUGAAACUUGUUUAUUUAAUUUUUUUCUUUUAAAAUAAAUAUAAUUGAAAAAAUUGUAAUGCUAUACAAAUAGGAAGGAGAGGGUGGGUGCACAUGUGAACCCCCACCACAUAUGCCCCUAUGUACCAUGGACCUUAAUUUGAUUCUCCCUUUGUUUCAAUUUAAAACUUAAAAAAANNNNNNNNNNNNNNNNNNNNNNNNNNNNNNNNNNNNNNNNNNNNNNNNNNNNNNNNNNNNNNNNNNNNNNNNNNNNNNNNNNNNNNNNNNNNNNNNNNNNNNNNNNNNNNNNNNNNNNNNNNNNNNNNNNNNNNNNNNNNNNNNNNNNNNNNNNNNNNNNNNNNNNNNNNNNNNNNNNNNNNNNNNNNNNNNNNNNNNNNNNNNNNNNNNNNNNNNNNNNNNNNNNNNNNNNNNNNNNNNNNNNNNNNNNNNNNNNNNNNNNNNNNNNNNNNNNNNNNNNNNNNNNNNNNNNNNNNNNNNNNNNNNNNNNNNNNNNNNNNNNNNNNNNNNNNNNNNNNNNNNNNNNNNNNNNNNNNNNNNNNNNNNNNNNNNNNNNNNNNNNNNNNNNNNNNNNNNNNNNNNNNNNNNNNNNNNNNNNNNNNNNNNNNNNNNNNNNNNNNNNNNNNNNNNNNNNNNNNNNNNNNNNNNNNNNNNNNNNNNNNNNNNNNNNNNNNNNNNNNNNNNNNNNNNNNNNNNNNNNNNNNNNNNNNNNNNNNNNNNNNNNNNNNNNNNNNNNNNNNNNNNNNNNNNNNNNNNNNNNNNNNNNNNNNNNNNNNNNNNNNNNNNNNNNNNNNNNNNNNNNNNNNNNNNNNNNNNNNNNNNNNNNNNNNNNNNNNNNNNNNNNNNNNNNNNNNNNNNNNNNNNNNNNNNNNNNNNNNNNNNNNNNNNNNNNNNNNNNNNNNNNNNNNNNNNNNNNNNNNNNNNNNNNNNNNNNNNNNNNNNNNNNNNNNNNNNNNNNNNNNNNNNNNNNNNNNNNNNNNNNNNNNNNNNNNNNNNNNNNNNNNNNNNNNNNNNNNNNNNNNNNNNNNNNNNACUUCAUAUUGGAGGCUAAUAUAAUUAUUUAAAAUAAUAUAAAUAUAAUAUUUUUAUGUACAAGAAAUACACAUUUUAAUUAAUUAAAAAUCAAAUAUAUUUAUUUAUAUAUUAUAAAAAUUAAAAUUAAAAUUUGCUAACUGAGUGACCAAAAAUAUUAUUAACCUCAAUAUGUAUUUAAAAAAAAAAAAUCACACCUACUUAAUUGGAAUGGUGCUGCCCACCCUAAAAACAUGGGACCAAAAAUAACUUAGGUUGGAGACUUAUCAAAAGCACACCUCAAUUGGAAUGGUGCUGCUUUUUGGAUUUUAGCCUCAAACUACUAACCAAACUAUAGGGGUAACAUACUUAACACUUACUUUAUAAAAAAUAGCAAUACUUUGAUUAAAUUACCUUGUGUAAUAAAUCUAAUAUUAUUUUAAGUGGGGGACCACACUUACCGUCUCUCAGAAGUUACCAUGUUUGAGGUUCCAUUUUUCACGCUUAAAAUCUUUUCUUUAAUUGUUUCUUACUUUAUUAUUUUUCACGCUUUUUCUCAGAUUCUCUUUCAAAAUUUGUCCCUUCUUAACAUCUUUUGCACGGUCUAAUAAGGAAAUUGUGAAAUAACUAUUAAUUUAGUUAUUGCAUGUUAUCAAUUUCUCAAAAAAAAACAAUUUACCAAAAAAAAAAAAAAAAUUGUACUGUAAACAAUUUUUUCAAUUCGUCUUUAAGGUUUUGAUUUUUGUAGUUGUUAACGGAGAAUCAACGUGAUCGAAUUUACUAAAUUUUGUUUUAUUUUUUUCAGCAAAAUUUUAUGUUUUAUGAGUUGAUAUAAUUGAUAGAGUUGAAAAAAUUGAAUUUUGGAUGACAAUUGAAAUUGAAUUAUGUUUUGUUGCGAUUAAUGGAGGAUAAUCAGAGUUGAAUGGAUAUUGUAGAUGAUUUUGGGUUGAUUUGUUGUUGAUAAUUUUUUUUUUCAUUUGUUUUUAAGUGAAUUUGAUGUUUUAUGAGUUGAUAUAGUUGAAAAAAAAUUAAAUUUUGGAUGAAAAUUGAAAUUGUAUUUUGUUUUGUAGCGAUUAAUGGAAUAUAAUCGGAGUUCAAUGGAUAUUGUAGAUGAUUUUGGGUUGAUUUGUUGUUGAAGAAGACAUGGAGGAAGAGGUAUUUUUCAUUGUAUAUGUAUUUUUAUUUACUAUUAUAUAUUUAGGGAUUUCAGUAAAGCUGUUAUCAAUUUGGGGUAAUAUGUAUUUUUUUUUAUGAAGCUAAUAUGUAUUUACUGAUUAGCUGAUAUGUAUUUAGGGAUUUCAGUAAAGCUGAUUUGUGAAGAUGAUAGGUUAAAUAUUCAUUUUGGGUUAACAUGUUUUUAUUUGUAUUUUUUGUAAAGUUACUAUGUUUAGUUGUAUUUGUAUGUUAAAUGAAUUUGUUAAGUUGCAUGUAUGGAAAAAUACAUUUAUGUAUGAAUUAUCCAUGAAGAGGUAUUUAGCUAUAUGUACUUUUAUUAUAAUUGAUAUGUAUUUUCAGUAAAUUGAAAUGUUGAAAUAUACAAAUACAUUUGUGGUUAUGGACGUAUUUGUAUCUAUUGAAAUACAAAUACAUUUUAAAAUAAUUUUUCAAUAAAGUUUAUGUAGGUUUGCCAUAUAUACAAAUGACUGACUAGAUAUACAUUUAAGGUAUAUGUAAGUAGUUUGUAUGUUUUAUAGAUACAUAUGCACUUUCAUUUAUAUUUUUGUUAAGUUCAAUACACAUUUUAAGGUAUAAGGAAGCAUUUGUAUUUUUAUACAUACAUAUCAAAUUUCAUAUGUAUUUUGCUUUAGUGAUGGUUUUGUAUUUUUGUUUUGUUCAAUAUACAUAUGCAUAUUUAUAUGUAUUUUUUGAUGUGGUGAUUGUGUUUUGUGUUUUUUUACAGUUUAUGAGGUGUAGUUUUACUUUGUAUAGGUGUCACAUGGUGAAAUACUCAUUGUAAGAAAACUUUCAAGAUUUGCACCACAUAUGUGUUGCUACAGUGAAAAUGAUAUUGAGGAAAGUUUACAGGCCAUAUUGAUGUAAAAUAUUGAUGUGUUAUUUGUAGAGGAUUUGCCUCAACAACCAAGUGGAAGCUUGUAAGUAUUUUAAUAUACAUAUACUAAAUUUGUAAGUUUGUACGAAAUAUAUUUUAAUUAUUAUUCAAUAUUUUUUUAGGGAUUGUGGUUUGUAUAUGAUUAUAUACGCAGAGUGUCUUUCUUAUGGUCAAGGCGUUCCUUCGAUUGAUUUCAAUCCCAACGUACUUCGUACAAGAUAUGCUUCACUAUUGUGGAAUUACGGUAUUAGAAAACAAGAAGCAAAAGCUCAAAGUGACGACGAAGUGCCAUUAAGACCUAUUAAGGAAAGCAAGAUAACUAGUGUCGCAGAAGUAUUAGAAGUCUGAUGGUUGAUGAUUUUAUUACGUUGUGUGAUUGACAAGAUUUAAUUGAAUAUUGAUAUUAAUUGUAUAAACUUAUUUUAUGUUUCGAAGUGAAUCAAAGUUACUUAUUUUGAAGUGAAUGAAAGUAAUUCACUUUAGUCUUUUAUAUUGAAUAUGUUUUCAAUAAUUUUGUAGUCUGUGUUUUAUUCCAGUGUUUAGUUGUAUUUGUUAUUGUGUGAUUUAGCUUCAAAAUAUAUAUGUAGUAUUCAGAUUUUGCGAUAUAUACAUAUGCAAUAUUCAGAUUUAACUUAAAUAUACAUAUGUAGUUAACAUCAUAUGUAUUUUAAUCUUUGUUCAUUUACUUUCAAAAUACAUAUGAAGUGAAUCAAACUUACUAAUUUUGAAGCAAAUGAAAGUAAUUCAUUUUAGUCUUUUAUGUUAAUAUGUCAAUAAUUUUGUACUCUAUGUUUUAUUUCAGUGUUCAUGUUUUAUUUAUUAUAGUGAGAUUUAGCUUAAAAAUAAAUAUGCAGUGUUCAGAUUUUGCAAUAUAUACAUAUGCAAUAUUCAGAUUUAACUUUAUUCAUUUACUUUCAAAUACUUUAAAAUACUUUCACAUUACAAAUAUGUAUAAGUGAUCAUAUUUGAAAAAUAUCUCAGUUAUCAAAUACGUAUAUCCUUAAACAUAGUAUUUUUCAAAUAAAAAGCAUAUGUAUUUUUCUAUCAAAUUUAGUAAUACAUAACUAUAUUACUAAUUGUUAUUUAUAACACAUUAUAGCAAAUGGUUGAUAAAGGUCUUAUAACACACAAAUGAGUUCAUUAUUAUGAAAAGUGCAAAAGAAAUUAUAAAAAAAGAAUACGGAAGAACAAAUGUAUCAUUUACGAUAUUUCCUACACGAACAUCUAUUGUGACCCUUAGACCCACAACCACUGGAUGAGUUGAUGUUCUUCUAUUCAAAUAUAUCCCUACCCAAUUUUAACACCUUCAACAGAUGUAUUUAACAGUUGAUGCAAAUUGUUUUGGACGUCUCUUCUUUCAACAACACAUACAGAUGAACUUUCAAAGGUGAUCACAACAUCUUUCUCCAAAAUGCAAUUGCAACAAAUUUGUUAAACAUAAAUUACAAACACAAUCAAAAUUCUCAGUAGAAAAUACAAUAACAAAUUAUUUGUUCAACGUUAAAUAUGGACAAAGCCACGAUCUCCACAAUUGAACACAACCAAAAUAAAUAUAAUCGAAAUUAUCAAAAAUAUAAAUAGUCUUAAAUUCUGAGGAUCAGACCUCCAAAAAAUUUAAUUUGAGCAGUAUAAAAAAUUAAUUUCGAUCACUAUUUUGUUCUAUCUAUUCAAUUUACUGUUGCAUUGCUUUUAACUCAAAAUUCGUUUACAAAAUUUUCAUAAAUAAAUUAACGACGAUAACAAAAAAUUGAACGAAUGGUUGACAAAAAAUUUUGAACCAAAAAACAAUAAUGAUUAAAUACCUUCAACAACAGUAAUGGUUACAUUUGCAAUCGAUUGUUGAAUUCGAACAAAUUGAACUGAAGAAGCUAUUGAAUUUGAUUUACAAUUGAAUUUGAUUCAACAACAUUAAUGUCUCUCUUUGUAAUUUAUGUUGAAUUUGAAGAAAUUGAAUAGAAGAAAUUUCAGUCAAAUUUGAUUCAAAAAUAAUAAUGGUUGAAUUUCAAACUAACGGUUGAAUUCGAACAAUUUUGAACAGAAAAAGGUUCAGUUUUUUUUUUUGUAUGAACACGUAAAAUGAAAAAAUUGAAAUUUGAAUUUUGCUUAGUGUUGUUAACAUAUAACGGAAAUCACGUGAUUUAAAAGGUUUUAAUGAAAAGGGAAUCUACACAUUUAAUUCAUGGGUAAUUAUAGCAUAUUUACCUCAACUACUUUCAGUUAAAUAAGGGCAGAAAAAUGAUUUGUAUAUGUAUUUUUAUAGCAAUAGUUUCUUAAAAUACAAAAUACAAGUUGCUAUCCUAAAUAAUUAUUAAAUUGUUGCUAGGAAACUAAUAAUUAUGAUCUUAAGUAUGCUAUUUGUGAAUUUUACCCACUACUAAACUCGUAACCACAAGGUAACAAGUAACACAAUAGAAAGAUCCUACACUUGGAAAAGUAUAAUUCUAUUUAAUAUGGUGGAGUUUGAUUGUAUUAAUAAAUAUGUGGGUUACUGUUCUAUCUAAAGUUAUUUGGAUUUAAAUAGGCUAAAAUAUGAGUCAUACCCAACAGUUCUAAUUUAACUAUGUUAUUUUAUUUUAUUUUAUUUUUUGGAAUAAUUUCAAAGACCUUCCCUCGUGUUUGUCCUUAUCACACUGACCUUCCUCAUAGUUUACAAUACUACAAUUACCUCCCCUAUUUUAGUUUUCUUGUAACAAUUCCUUUUAGUUAAUUAUUGCUAGUUUUAAAAAAUUAUGAUAGGACUAAUUUGUCCAUGUGAGGCACUUUUUUUAGAAAAAAUAAUUUGCAAGUAUCUAUGCUCAAAAUAAAUUAUCAUUGCCCUUCCCAAUUCUCCAUCAAACUUCCUAUGCAGCAACAAGACAAAAUGAACUCUGAGACUAAAAGCUUGAGAACGAUCUCAGAACUCCUAAAAGAAAUGGUUCAACUCUUUUCCAUUGCAUUACAUCAAAUUGAUACCCAUUAUUUUUCAUUAUUCAUGCUCUAAUGAUUGCAAUUAUUUGUCCCAAUUCCUUGUAUGAAGCAUAUAUGCAUAAAUUCUUAAUUAAUUUUUUCCUGUUAAGUAUUGUCUAAAUAAUAUAAGUACAACAAUAACAUACCAAAAUCGUAAUAUAAUCCCACCGAGUAUGACCUUGGAAAAGUAGAGUGUACACAGACAUUAUCUCCACUUCAUUGAUUUCUUCUAUUUAAGUUACAUCUCAUGAGCAAGAGUUGACACUAUCACAUCAUAAAGGCAAGACUUACGACUUUCGAACAACAAGCUACGUUUUAUGGGCAAGAGAUGACACUACUACAUUAUGUUUUCAUUUAUGAGAUAUUCUACAACUAUUGUCUUAGAGGCAAGACUUAGCUCAAGGACUUUCAAACUACAAAUUAUGCUCAAGAAAGAGUUAACUUUACCAUGUUAUGUUUUCAUUUAUGAGAUGUUCUACAACUAUUGCCUUAGAGACAAGACUUAAUUAGCUCAAGGACUUUCAAACUAUAAAUUAUGCCCCACGGGUAAGAGUUGACUCUACCACGUUAUAUCUUUAUUUAUGAGAUGUUCUACAACUCUUGCAUGCCUUAGAGGCAAGACUUAGUUCAAGUACUUUCAAACAACAAAUUAUGACCCACAGGCAAAAGUUGACACUACCACAUUAUGUCUUCAUUUAUGAGAUGUUCUAACACUCUUGCCUUAGAGGCAAGACUUAGCUCAAAGACUUUCAAAUUGCAAAUUAUGCCCCACGGGCAAGAGUUGACACUACCACGUUAUGUCUUCAUUUAUGAGAUGUUCUACAAUUCUUACCUUAGAGGCAAGACAUAGUUCAAAGACUUUUAAACUACAAAUUAUUCCCCACGGGCAAGAGUUGACACUAACACGUUAUGUCUUCAUUUAUGGGAUAUUCUACAACUCUCACCUUAGAGGCAAGACUUAGCUCAAAGGCUUUAAAACUAUAAAUUAUGCCCCGCGGAUAAGAGUUGACACUAUCACGUUGGGUAUUCAUUUAUGGGAUGUUCUACAACUUUUGCCUUAGAGGCAAGACUUAGCCCAAAGACUUUCAAACUAUAAAUUAUGCCCCACGGGCAAGAGUUGACACUACCACGUUAUGUCUUCAUUUAUGGAAUGUUCUACAACUCUUGCUAAAGAGGUAAGACUUAGCUCAAAGACUUUAAAAUAAUAAAUUAUGCUCCACGGGCAAGAGUUGACACUACCACGUUUUGUCUUCAUUUAUGGGAUAUUCUACAACUCUUGUCUUAGAGGCAAGACUUAGCUCAAGGACUUUUAAAUAAUAAAUUAUGUCCCAUGGCAAGAGUUGACACUACCGCGUUAUAUCUUUAUUUAUGAGAUAUUCUACAACUCUCGCCUUAGAGACACGACUUAUCUCAAGAAUUUUCAAAGAACUUCAUAACAACAAUUCAUGCCCUUAAUGCUUUGAUGAUGUCAAAAAAAGAAAAUCCCUUUGCAAAUUAUCUAAUUUUUUAUUUAUUAGCAAAGUAUAAUAGAAAUUGAGAGAAAAGAAAAAAGCGAUCAAACAAAAUAAAGAAAUAAAAAAAGAUUGAGAAAAAAAGAAAAGAAAAGAAAAAAUAAAGAUCAAGAAAAAAGAGAAGAAUUAAAAAAUUGAGAAAAAUAAAAAUGAGAGGAAAAAUAAAAAUAAAGUUUGAGAAAAAAUGAGGGGAAAAAAGAGAAUUGAAAGAAAAAUGAUCAAACAAAAUAGAGAAAUAAAAAAAAAGAUUAAGAAAAAAAAGUUAAGAAAAAAAUAAAGAUUAAGAAAAAAGCAAAGAAUUAAAAAAAUUAAGAAAAUAAAAAAUUAGAGGAAAAAAUUAAAAUAAAGUUUGAGAAAAAUGAGGGAAAAAAAGAACUUAUAAAAAUAAACAAUAAAAGAAAAAUAAAGGAUAAAGACAAAUGAAUUAAAAAGGGGGGAAAAUAGAUAAUUCUUGAGAAAAGGGAAAAAAGAGAAAAAAAAUAAAGGUUGAGACAAAUGAAUUAAAACGUGAAAAUAAAAUUAAAGGAAAAAUAAAAUGUGAAAAUAAUAAAAAAUAGAAUAAUAAAAUUAAAGGAAAAAAUAAAAAGUGAAAAUAAUAAAAAAUAAAAUUUGAGAGACAAAUGUGUAUGAAAAGUUUAAAAAUAUAUUUGAGAUGUAGAGAGGCAAAUUGGUAUUUGUAUUAUACUUAAAAAGUAAGGAAGUAUUUUUUAAAGACAUUUCUUAUUGGGGGCAAAUAUCUAAAGCCACCUAUAUUUGGGUCUAGGACUUACAAUUUCCCCGUGCUAAUCGGGGCUUUAACGUUGCAUAACUGUGUCUGCAAAAUAAUUGAAGAAAGAGCGCAUUCAAUAACAACAAACCCUAUGUAUUCCCACAUAGUGAGGUCUGAAGAAAGAGUGCAUUAGAAAGGGCAAAUUAGUCCUAUCAUAAUCUUUUAAAUUAAUAUUAAUUAUGUAAAAAGAAUUGUUAAGAAGAAAUCAAAAUAAGAUUUCUUAUGACAUAUGACAUAUCAAAACCAUUUUUUUUAUAAAUUAAGCUAAAAAUGAGAUGAACUACUAAUUCGGGCCAAUCACCAUCCAAAUUUCGUGUUAAACAUAUUAUAUUUUUGUGCUAUAAUUUUUCCACCUCGAGAAAAGUACUCAAGGAAGGAUGAAAACUUUGCACUUAGGCAAUCAAGGACGCUGGAAAGGAAGAAUAAUGUAGGCCUUGAUUACAAUAUUGGAUGAUAGGAGGAGGACCAUUGAUGGGUUCUUGAAUAAUAUUUAGUUAAACAUUGGAAAAAAGAGUAUUUGGUGCUCAAAUUAAAUAGGACAAAUAAUAUAAAUUUCAAUGAUUUAGAGUUUAAUCAUAAAAAAAAAUAAUAUUUUAUAUAAUUAUUGAAAAUAUCGAUUUUGGAUUUGUCAAGAUACAUAAAUUAACUCUUGAUACAUCCAAAGAAUAUACAUUUUUUUCUUUGUAAAGAUACAUAAUUAGCUUCAAAUAUAUAUUUUCGAUCUUUAAUCUAUUAAACAUAAUUAGUUUCCUGAUAAUGAAGAUACAUAAAUAGUUGAGAUUUUCGUAAUUACUUUAUAAGGAUGGAGAUUUGUAUAAAUAUGAUAAGUUAAGGUGUAUAUUUAUGUUCUUUUUCUAAUUAAAUAACGGUUGUACAAAAGUUGAAAUUGUGCUUCGAGCAUGAAGUACACUUGAAAGAAAAUUGAACUUUGUGAGAAUCGUUUCUCUUGAAAUACUUUUUCUAACUUCAAAUUAUCUUUUUCAAAUUAAAGUCGAAAUGAUGGAUCAGAUGAUAAAAUAAAAAGUAUUCAUGAAAAAGAAGUUAAACAUUUGAAUAGUAAAUUUUGUUGGGAAUCUUUCAAAAAUAACAGUAUUUUGCUAUAAAAUCCACCUUUCAUAGCCACAUUUUACAUAAUUAUCAUUUAUAGCCGUUGUAUUUGAUUUAUUCCCAUUGUAUUCGGCUUUACAGAUAGCAUGCAUUCAUAUAAAAUAUGAAUACAGUCCCUAUUUAGUCGCGCAAAAAAAGAAAUUCAAUAUUUUUAAAAAGAAAAAAAUUUCAAUCACGCUUAUCUCGUUGAACUGAAUAUUUUCUUGCCUAACACUACCUUUAUCGUUUUUUAUAUUUUUUGUAUUUUUCCCUUUUUACUUCUUUUUUUUUUCUAUUUUGCCUACUUUUAUUUUUUUCCAUUUAUUUUCUUUUGUUUUUUGUGUUUUUUUUUUCUCUUUAAUCUCUAACUUCUGUUUCUCUUUCUUCUUUUCUUUUCUUCUUUGAUUUUUGUUAUUUUCCUUUUUAUACUUAUUUUCUUUAUUAUUUUUUUGUUCUAUUCUAUUUAAUAUUUUUUGUAUUUUCAAAAAAUAUGACUAAUCGAGCACAAGUCAUGAAUGAUAGUGUAAAUACCACAAUUGUUUAUUGUAUUUGUAGUUACACCGCCAAUAUUUAUUUUUCUAUUUAUUGAUACAACUGUAUUUGUAUUUGUAUUUUAAAGUUUGCACUUAUAUUUAUAUUUUAUAGUUCGCAUUUAUAUUUGUAUUUAAUAGUUCGCACUUGUAUUUGUAUUUCUUACUUUGCGCUAUCAUUUAUACUUUAUAUAAUUCACACUUGUAUUUUAAAAAAUUAUUUUAUAUUUGUAUUUUAUAAUUGAUUGCACAUUAUAUUAGAUUAUAUUUAUAUUAUGGUUUUAUUGUGUUUUUAUAUUUAGAUUAUAUUUGGAUUAUACUUGUAUUUAUAUUCUAUUUUAUUCAUUACCUUUUUAUUUUUAAAAAAUUAUUGUGUAUUUGUAUUUGUAAGUUGAUUACAUAUUAUAUUUAGUCAUGACUAUAUACAAUUUAUCAUUUGUAUUUGUAUACAAACAAGUAAGUGCAUUAAUUGUAUCUUGUGAUUCUAAAAUAUAUAUAUGUGUAAUGUAUCAUUUGAUACAAAUGUACCGUUUUGUAUUUGUAUAUCAAAAUUAUAAUUCAUAUUUGUAAAUAAACAAAUAUCAAUUGAUACAAAUACAAUGACAAACAAAUAAAAGAAAUGAUUUUGCAAAUACAAAUACAAUAUGUAUUUAUUUGUAUGAAUUUGUAUAUAUUGUAUUUGUAUUUGUAUAUGAAUUUGUAUAUAUUGUAUUUGUAUAAAAAAUUGAGUUGUAUUUAUUUGUAUAAAUAAAAAUAACUAGUAUCAAUAAAUACAAACAAGUAUUCGUAGAAAAAAAAUCAAUUUUUCUUUUUCAAUAAUUAAAAAAUACAAAUGAUAGUUCACACUUGUAUCUGUAUGUUAUAGUUCACAUUUGUAUUUGUAUUUUAUAAUUCGCACUUGUAUUUGUAUGUUAUAGUUCAUAUUUGUAUUUGUAUUUUAUAGUUCGCAUUUAUAUUUGUAUUUGCUAGUAUGCAUAAAUGAAAAGAAGAGAAAAAAAUGAAAAGAAAAAAAAAGGAGAAAAGAUGAGAGCAAAAAUAAAAAGAAGAAGGAUAUUAAUAGAAAAUAGAGAAAAAAAUAAAUAAAGUAGAAAAAUAAAAAGGGAAAAAAGAAAAAUAAAAAAAAAGGAGAAAAGAUAAGAGAAAAAGGAGAAAAAUAAAAUAAAAAGAAGGAGAAAAGAUGAGAGAAAAAGAAAGAGAUUUUUUUUUAAAAGGAAAGUAACAGACAAUAAAGAAAAAAAGAAGGAGAAAAAAUAAAAUAGAAAAAAAGAAAAAGAACAAAAAAGAAAAAACAGAAAAAAGAAAACGAAAAAGAAAAACAAAUAAAAAGGAAAAAUGAAGAAAAAAAUUUAAAUAAAAAGGAGAGUAAUAGAAAAUAGAGAAAACAAAAUACAUGAGAGAGACUAUGAAUUGUUAUUGGGGAUAAUUAAUAGGCAAGGGGAUGCAAUGGAUUGUAAUUAAUUGAAAAUUAGGCUUUAAGUGGUAAUAAAAGCUCAAUAGUGGCUAAUAUGGGUAAUUUUCCCAAUUUUGGUGUUUAAUCAGUUAUAAAUAUAUGUUAUAUAAUACUCCAUUUGUUUGCUUUUACUUAUCACUAUUUUUUCUAAUUGAAUCUUAAUUUUUAGUUGUCAUUUUCUAUAUAUAAAAAAAGACAAAAGAAUUUUUUUUAUUUUACUUUUAGUAUUAAUUGUUUAUUCUCCAAAGUAUUUUUAAGACAUAUUACUCUAAACGUCAAUUAAUAGAGGAAUUACGCUAAAAUAAUCAUAUUAGUAAUUAUUUUGUAAUAAAUGUGCAAUGUCAAAAAGUGAUAAGUAAAAACAAAUUAAGGAAGUAAAUAUUAAAAUAAUCUAUUAUCAUAUAUUUUAAAUCUGUACUUAUAUUUUACUGUUGAAAAUAUUUUAAAUAUUAUGAAAUAACUACUAUAUUAAACUCGUCCCUCAUUAUUCUUGGUGGCACUAGAAAACAAAUUUAUGUGAAAAUGCUAGGUGAUACCCAAAGAUUCAUCCAAAGGAGUAAUGUACCAUAAUCAAGCUCUACCCAAAGCUAUAUUUACAAGGAAAAAUUACAUAUUAUAAACAAAAUACUAUAUUAAUUACAUGAUAUGGUUAAUGUUUUAAAAAAUUACAAUUUAUAAUCAUUUGGUAGUUAAAAGUCAAUUUUUUUUGUAGCUCCUAUAUACAAAUAUAUUAAGAUUUGUAUAUAUCAAUUUUCUCUCUCGUAUAUUUAUUUUUCAUAUUUUCUUUCUAUUCUUUCUCUAUUCUAUUGACUCAAGAAAAGGCAACAAGGGAAUAUCAAAUCACAAGAUUUUUUAAGAUAUCUUAUUUAACUAUUUUUUUCUUAAUUUUCUCUCAAAAUCACUCUAAUAUCCUUAAUUUUAAAUUAAAGUAAUGACAACAUUGACAACAUCAUAAUACAUGAUUAUUCAAUAGAUCUUCUUCAACUUUUUUCUCCUUAUUUUUUUCUCAAAGUCACUCUAAUAUCACAAAAUAUAAUCCUUGAUUUUUCUGUGAUAAAUUGUUUUUGCGAAUUUUCAUCACAGAAAAUCAGUUUAGGAUAUUUAUUGACAUUAGAUUUUAUUUCUUUUUAAUUUUUUAUAUAUUAUGUCAGUUAGUCGUUAAAUUUCUUUGUUGUUCAUAUAUUUUACAAAUGAAACAGAAAAGGGGGAGCAUUCCCCCAUUUUUAUAAAAUUUUUUAUUUUUGCGGAUUUUUAUUUUAUAAUAUAAAUUUUUAUAUAUUAUGUAAGUCACUCCCCCAUUUUUUUUAUGGAUGAUUUACCAAAAAAAAAGAAAAAAAUUUUGCAUUUCUAGCAAGGCGGAAAGGAAAAAAUAUUUUAAAGUAUCUAAAUUCAAAAGGGGGAGUAAUGAAGUUGACAAUGAUUACGAGGUUUUUUCGUAUAUAUUCUCAUGAAAUAGAAUUGUUGGUCAAUAUACAUUUUUGUUUCAAUAUAUGUAGAUACGUNNNNNNNNNNNNNNNNNNNNNNNNNNNNNNNNNNNNNNNNNNNNNNNNNNNNNNNNNNNNNNNNNNNNNNNNNNNNNNNNNNNNNNNNNNNNNNNNNNNNNNNNNNNNNNNNNNNNNNNNNNNNNNNNNNNNNNNNNNNNNNNNNNNNNNNNNNNNNNNNNNNNNNNNNNNNNNNNNNNNNNNNNNNNNNNNNNNNNNNNNNNNNNNNNNNNNNNNNNNNNNNNNNNNNNNNNNNNNNNNNNNNNNNNNNNNNNNNNNNNNNNNNNNNNNNNNNNNNNNNNNNNNNNNNNNNNNNNNNNNNNNNNNNNNNNNNNNNNNNNNNNNNNNNNNNNNNNNNNNNNNNNNNNNNNNNNNNNNNNNNNNNNNNNNNNNNNNNNNNNNNNNNNNNNNNNNNNNNNNNNNNNNNNNNNNNNNNNNNNNNNNNNNNNNNNNNNNNNNNNNNNNNNNNNNNNNNNNNNNNNNNNNNNNNNNNNNNNNNNNNNNNNNNNNNNNNNNNNNNNNNNNNNNNNNNNNNNNNNNNNNNNNNNNNNNNNNNNNNNNNNNNNNNNNNNNNNNNNNNNNNNNNNNNNNNNNNNNNNNNNNNNNNNNNNNNNNNAGAUAUACAAAUAAUAAAAACAAUCUUUGUAACCUUUAAAACAGAUAUACAAAUACAAUUAUACACUUAUGUUAACAGAUAUACAGAAAUUCAAAUAUACUACUAAUAAAUAUACAUAAAAAAAUAUUAAAAGACUAUCAAUAUGUAUAUUAUGAAAUAUGCAGUAGAGUAAUGAAUGAAUAUAUCACAGAAAUUGCAAUUACAAAUGGGAUUUAGAAAAGAAAAAAAAAACUAACACAAACAAGGAUUAUAACCUUUUAACAACUUCUGUGAAUUUUUUUUUCAAAAUUAUGAAAAUAAAAAUUGAAUACGAAAAUUGAAACACAAAAUUACAAUUGAAGUUAUUGUAUACAAAAAUAAUAGUAAUUACAAAAUUGACAAUUUGAAAGUGUUUGAAGUUUAUAUUGUGCAUUCAAUUUUGAAAAUUUAAUUCAAACUAAUAAUAAAAUUGAUUUUCAUUAUGUUGAAAUUGAAUCAAUUUUUAUUGCAUAUUAGAUUCAAAAAAGGAUUUCAGUAUAUAAAUUCAAGUAAAAAAAUAAUUUAUGUAAAUGGUAUAUACCGAAAUUUUGUAUGCACGAAUUAUCAACUUUCUCCUGUAGACCACAAUUUUAAAAAAAAGAAUUAUUAACUUUUGAGAGUGUAAUUAACGCAUAAAUUCAUAUUUAUUGAUCUGUUAUAUCAGAGAAAUAAAUGAAAAGUUGGAGAAGAUUAAGGACAUUUAUUACAUUAAAUUUUUUUUUAUCUCUUUUUGUUGUUAUGGACUUUUUUUUUGUAUAUAUAUAUAAAAGUGUCAUUUAUUUUGUCUAUAAAUUGUAAAUAUGAAAGUUAGACUAGGAAGUUAGUUAUAGAUACUCUAAUGAGACUAUAUGUGAAUUUUUGCCUAUUUACAACUACAUAAUUUUAAGGCCCAUAAAUGGGCCCAAUGUACUAAUUACAAAUUUUAAAUUUAUUUUGUAUGUAUGCAAAAGUUUAAUACAAAAUAUUAAUCAAUACUCUAUUGAUACCAAUAAAAUUUUUAGCAUAAAUAAAAUAUUGUAUAUAAAGUUAUCUAACUCAUAAAUAUUUUAAAGUAUUAUUGAUAUCUAUUAUGAAAACAUUUUUUUUUGUUGUUCUAAAGCACUAAGGCUAAAACUUAAUUUGUUUUUUCAACAUCGCAUAAUGACAUAAAUUUAUUGUGAUUUAAAAUAUAAUUUUAUUUGUUAGAUUGAAUUGAAUUAUACAUAAAAUAUACUAUAUUCAAGAAAGUUAAAAAUCACAUCGUACAUUUAAUAAAGUUCUUAUAGUUUUCCUAACUCUUUUAUUUUCUUUGGAAGAUCUAUUAAGAACACGGUUCUUGUACUUUUUUCUUUAUUAUUCUUUGCACAUAAAUUGUUACUUGUAUAAUAUUAUUAAUUAUUAAAAUAAUGUUAAGUUUGAAUUGAUUCAAAAACAUAUACUAUAUAUAAUUUUACAAAAUAGGUUUGAGAAUGGUAGAAUGUACAUAAAUUUUACCUCUACUCUUAGGGAUAGAAAGACUAUUUCUUGCAGAAUUUUAAGUAUUAAUUGGUAUCUUAAAAUAAAAAAAUAAAACAAUAAGGAAAAUAAUUUACUAUGGUUAAUUAAAUUUUGAUUUGAUCAAUUUAAAAUAUACAAAUAUUUUUCUCUUAUUUUUUCACUCAGUGUCUGAUACUCUCAUUGAAGCUCCGACUAAUUCGGAUUGCGCACUGCAGGGUAUUGGCGCUCCCAAUAAAAUUUUCUUCAUUUCAAGACUCAAAUCUAAGACCUCUGAUUAAGGGAGGAGCAAUCCCAACACUGCACCACUAUCCACGUUGAUGAUCUAAACAUAUUCUAUUAUCAUAUACAUUAAUUGGACUCAAGAAUAAUUUAUUCUUUUUAUCAAUUUGAUCCGGCAACUAAAAAUUAAAUCAAACUUACAUUAAUUCGACUAUUUAAAUUAUUUUCUAAUGUUUAAAAUGAAAUAAAAUAUAGACUCAUUCUCUAUUUAAAUGAAGAUCUGCGAUUUUUAAAUUUUAGGAAUACUCUUAGGAUCUGUUUGAUCAUAUUAUUUUGGAAAUGAGUUUUGAAGUUACAACAACAACAACAACAAACCUAGUAUAUUCCCACAUAGUGGGGUCUGGGGGGGAGGGUAAGAUGUACGCAGUCCAUACCACUACCUCUGGAGAAGUAGAAAGGCUGUUUACGAUAGACCCCCGGCUCAAGACAUGGAAUAAUACACAAAUCCUUAAUAAGGCAUGGAACAAGAUGAUAGUACAUACCUACGCCACCCACAAGGAAUAAUAAUCAAAGAGCAGUAAACAAACUAGUAAUAAAUCAUGCAACAAGGUGUCAUAACAAGAAUAAUACCCUACCAAGUAAUGCCCUACCCAAGCAACCCCAAAUGGCAAUAGCCUUCUAUCAUAAUCCGCGUCCUCCAGAUCUUCCUAUCUAGGGUUAUGUCCUCUGUGAGUUGUAAAUGCUCCAUGUCCCGCCUGAUAACCUCUCUCCAGUAUUUCUUCGGCCUACCCCUACCCUGCCUGAAACCAUCCAAAGCAAGCUUCUCGUACCUAAAAGUCAUUAAACUUGCAUUCCAAAUAUUUUGUCUUGCUUCUGCUCAACCUGAACCCUUUAGACUCAAGGGUCUGUCUCCAUACCUUUAAUUUAACAUUCACCCCCCCCUCCCGCAUCUCAUCAAUCAAAACUACAUUAUCUGUAAAAAGCAUACACCAAGGCACCUCUCCUUGAAUACGCCGUGUCAAUACAUCCAUCACCAAAGAAAACAAGAACGAAUUAAGAGUAUAUCCCUGGUGCAACCCUGUCAUGACAGGGAAAUGCUCUGAGUCUCCUCCUGCUAUCCUCACCUGAGUCUUGGCUCCAUCAUACAUGUCCUUGAUUACUCUAAUAUACGCCAUGGGGACCUUGCUCACCUCCAAGCAUCUCCAAAGAACCUCCCUAGGGACUUUGUCGUACACCUUCUCUAAGUCGAUAAACACCAUGUGCAGAUCCUUCUUUCUUUCCAUAUACUGCUCCACUAGUCUUCGCACCAGGUAAAUCACCUCCGUCGUCGAGCGCCUGGGCAUAAAUCCAAACUGGUUCUCUGAGAUAGACACUAUCCUUCUCAAUCUCAACUCGACCACUCUCUCUCAAAUCUUCAUAGUGUUGCUCAAUAACUUAAUACCCCUAUAGUUAUUGGAGCUCUAAAUGUCACCCUUGUUCUUAUAAAGAGGGAUCAUUAUACUCCAUCUCCAGGGCUCAGGCAUUUUUGCCGACUUGAAAAUAUCAUUAAAUAAUUUAGUCAACCACCUUAAGCCCGCUUCGUCAGAAAACUUCCAAAAGUCCACAAGAAUCUCAUUAGGCCCCGUCGCCCUACCCCUACGCAUCCUGUGAACAGCUUCUUUAACCUCUUCUACCUUAAAACGUCUAUAAUAACUGAAAUCACAACAGUCCUCUGAGUGCUUCAGCUCCCCUAACACAAUAUCUCUAUCCCCUUCGUUAUUCAAUAACCUAUCAAAGUACGACUGCCAUCUCUUUUUAAUGUGAUCAUCCUCCACCAACACUCUACCAUCCUCCCCCUUAAUACACUUCACCUGGUCGAGGUCACAACCCUUCCUUUCCCUAGCGUUUGCAAGCCUAAACAACCUCUUUCCCCUUCUUUCUCUUCUAACCCCGAAUAUAAUCUCUCAAACGCUGCCAUCUUAGCCGUCGUAACUGCCAACUUAGCCUCUUUCCUAGCUAUCUUAUAUUUCUCCCUAUUAGCCCGCUUCACAUCUUCAUCCUUACUCUUAGCCAUCUUAGCAUACGCCUCCUUCUUAGUCUCUACUUUCUUCUUAACUUCUUCAUUCCACCACCGAUCCCCCCGACAAUGACCGGAAUGGCCCCUGAACAUACCCAACACCUCACUGGCAGUCUCCUUGAUGCACUUAGCCACCGUAUCCCACAUACCAUCCAUGUCCCCCUUACACUCCCACCCCUAUACCCUCCACCUUUUCCCCUAUCUCCCGCGCAUUUACCGACGUUAAACUGCCCCACUUAAUUCUAGGUCUACCCUCUUCACCCCUUCUCUUCUUAUCUUUCUUAAUACCUAAGUCCAUCACCAAGAGCCUAUGGUGGGUCGAAAGAUUCUAACUCGGGAUGACUUUACAGUCCUUACACAACACCCUAUCCUCUUUCCUAAGCAGUAAAAAGUCAAUUUAGGUCUUGGCUAUCACGCUUCGAAAGGUGAUCAGAUAACCGUCCUUCUUCGGGAAGCUCGAAUUCACCACUACUAAUCCAAAAGACCUCGCAAAGUCUAGCAGAGCAACUCCCUCUUUAUUUCUCUCCCCAAAACCAAAACCACCAUACACAUCGCCAAAGCUUUCUAAUACCGUCUCGAUGUGCCCAUUGAAAUCCCCUUCUAAAAUAAUCUUUUUGGAACUAGGCACUCCUCUCACCACCUCAUCCAAAUCCUCCUAAAACCGUAUCUUCUCAUCCCUACCCAAGCCCACCUGAGGCCUGUAAACACUAUACACGUUCAGGGCAUACCCCCCAAUGACCAACUUAAUAGUCAUUAACCUAUCGCUGAUCCUCUUAACCUCCACUACCUGCCCUCUAAGCUCCUCUUCUACUAAGAUGCCAACUCCAUUCCUAUGCCUCACACUACCAGAAUACCAAAGCUUGUAACCGUCUUUAUCCCUAGCUUUAGACCCUACCCACUUAGUCUCUUGUAUACACGCAAUAUUGAUCCUCCUCUUUUUAAGAAUCUUCACCAGCUCAAUAGACUUACCCUGAAGAGUACCUAUAUUCCAAGACCCAACCCGCAGCCUAUCCACUCUAGCACCACAUCUUCCUCUACCUCCCCUAACGCCAGACCUAGCCCCCACUCCUACACUUACCCUUUCCUCUUCCUCCACCCCUGGCACAGCCCCCCGCCCCAACCCCCUCGGACAUGACCCUAUCCUACCAUCAAUGCCCAUAGCCAUAAGUCCAGGAAAAUGCCCACAAUAACAGUAAUAAAGUAACAGCGGGAAAUAGAAGGCACACGUAUAGUAUAUGAAAUAAUCAAGAAAAGGUCAAAGCAGGUAAAGACAAUACAAAUAAUAUCCACCAUUAAGCAAAGAAUCCAGUCACAACUAUGCUCACUAGCAGCAAGUAACGAAUGCAGAAAAGAGAGACAGGGAACAAAAUAGUAUAAAACAGUCAAACUAUAUGAAGUGCCAAAAUAUGGAGUGACGAAAUAAUCAAAGUUUAGAUGUCACCGGUACACCUGCAUUCUGCUGGUUCAUCAAUUUUGAUGUUGAAAAUUGGUUGCCAGAAGAAGGUCGACUGGAAUGGGGCCGCUGGUCACAUCGAUGAAGUGUCAUCGGAGUUUUGCCGGAGUGUCUUCAGGGACUUUCCAGGAUCUGGACGUCGACAGACGACGAACCAACUGGUCUGAUCUACUUGUUUGGCCGCUUAUGAAUACCUCCCCCGUUACCCGAGUCGAUCCGACGGGAAACCUAAACCUGCCGACGAUAGUCGCGAUGGGAAAAAAAAUGGAAAGGGUGGGGAAGAUGAUAACGAGGAACUAGGGAGAACGAUUUGAGGGGAGAGAAAGAAAGAGAGGGAAAGGAAGAGAGGUAGAUCUUAUCUACUUUCGGCUCGUCUAUGUCGUCGCCAGCGUCAGAGUCCGCCGGUCAGUCGAGGUGGAAACGUUAAGUUGAAUGUUACAAAGUGUCGAGUUUUGAAGUUAAAAAAAUAUAUAAAAAUUGAUAAUAAAUGUGAAAUUUUUGAGAAGUUUAUGAAAAUUGAGUUAUUUUAUGAAAAUAAAAAAUUAAAAAAAUAAAUUAAAAAGUAUAAAAAGUUAAUUAAAAAAUAGUGGAACACCUCUCGCGGUGUUUUUCAAAAAUCCAAAAAUAGUGAAAAAGUAUUUUGAAAUAUUUAUGGCCAAAUAAAUAUUCCGAAAUAAAGUAAAAAUUUAUUUUGAAAUAUUGUGAAUAAUAUUUAUGGCCAAACGUCUACUUAAUUUACUUUGCAUUUCAAUCAUUCCGCCUGAUUCAUUUAUUUUUCUUGAUAUUUGUAUGCUUUAUUAAAUGUUAAAAUUAAUAAUUCAAUAAAUUGCUUUUAUUUAUUAUUUUUAUUUCAGUUUAACAUAUACUAUUUGUUUUUAUCACACUAAUUUCAUUCAAUUUUUAUUAUAUUAAAGAAAAUUAAAAUUGAAAAAUAAUUAAUUAUUUAAUUUCUAAAAUAAUAGAUAGUUUAUACUCACAUUAGUUAUGUUAUGAGUUUAAGUGAAGCAACUACAAAAAGUAAUUUGAUUAAAUAUUAGAUUAAUUUAAAAGAAGAAAAAAAAGUGCAUGGUAUUGAAUAUUACCUUUUGAAAAAAAGCUUCUCUGAUAAGGAUGAUAAUUGAUGACCAGUUGAAGACAAAAAUUGAGUUUUUUUUUACACAUACACAGAAUAUUUUUGUUGUUCUAGUGUUUUGUUUUCAUGUGUCCAUUAGAAUUUAGUACAGCUUGAAUAGCUAUUUGGAAAUUUAAUAUGAUCUUUGCUUGUUGUACAAUUGCUUGAAGCUGAAUUAAGAAGAAGAAAAAAUGCAUGGUAUCAAAUAUUAUCUUUUGAAAGAAAAGAUUCUCUGAUAAGGGUGAUAAUUGAUGACCAUUUGAAGACAAAAAUUGAGUUCCUAUUUUUACACAUAUGCAUUAUGUUUUUGUUGUUCAAAUGUAUUGUUUCCACGUGUCCGUUACAAUUUAGUAUAACAUGAAUGACUUUUCAGAAAUUUAAUAUAAUCUUUGUUUGCUGUACUAACUCCUUGAAGCUGGAUUACGUUGUUAAAUUACAAAAUUAUUGAAAUGAUAUUUUUACUUGUGGUCGUCUUCAACUCAUGAUUUAAAAAAAAUUAUAUAACAAAUCUCUACAGAAAAAAAUAAGCAUUAUUGGUUAGACAAAAAAAGAAAAGUGAGAAAUAGUAACUUAAGUACAUACAUUAUUAACGUUUAAUAAUGAAAUGAAUGAACAAAAUAAAAAAAAAUUAUUAUUAAUAAUAAAAUUUUAAUAUCUAUUAUACAAUUAAAAAUAGUAGAGCGAUAGUUUUAUAGAAAUAUAUUUUAAUAUAAUUAAUAAAAAUAAUUAACAAAAAAUAGAGGUAAAUUUUAUAAUAAAUUCCUAAAAGAUCAUCCAUUUAUAUUGUCAUUAAAUUAUAAUUUAGAAAAAACAAUUAAUGACAAAACUUGUUUAUCUAUAUAGACAACUAAGAAUAAGAGAUAAGUAAAAAUUAAAUAUACAUAUAUACUUACUACAUGUAAUAUUUAAAUAAUAUCAUAAAAGAUAGCAUUAUAUUUUGUAAUAAGUUCAUAAAAUUAUUCUACUUAUAAUGUUAAUAAACUUAAACAAAAAUCUAUAAAUACCUAGAAUAAAAAAAAAAAAUAUUACAUGGAAUAUAAAAAGAUAUUUCCAAGAUGGAGGAUGAAAAUAUCAAAGGUAAAAUCGACAUUGCAUAAAAUAAAGACGAAUAAUAUCUAUGUUUAAAGUAGAAAUUUGUUCAAACGAAAAAAAUUUAGAUAUUUACAUUCUUGAAAUAGUAAGGAUCAAUACGGGAAAAAGUAAAGUCUUGAUAAGAAAAUUAACUAAUACAGGAGAUCAUAGAAAAUAAUAACCUAGGUAAAAAUAUAAUGUGUUAUAAUGUAUGCAUUAAGAUGUAUCGUGGUAUACAAAUAGUAUGUUUGUAAGGUAAUUUUAUUUUAUAUCAAGAAACUUGAAAAAGGAGUGAAGAAAGAGAUAUUUUCAAGUUAAAGAACUUUUUCCCUUGAUAAUAAUGAGUAUAAUUAUAAGUUUGCCCUUGUUUGUCCUCAACUCUCCUUUUUAUAUAGUAGAAACUAGAUAUCGAAGGCUCAUGCUAGCACCAGCCUAAUGUGAAUUAUUUUUUUGCCUCAAUGUAUGUGACACACGUAAAAUUUAGAUAAUUAAUCAUAUUUUUAAUAUAUUUUUAGAUAUUUUAAGUUGUUAACUAUUGUAAUUUUAAAUAUUUUAAAUUUAAUUUUUAAAUAAUAUAUGUUAUUCUCUUUGUUCAAACUUUUAUUGCAUUGCUAGCCAAUUAUAUUUUUAAAAUAAUUUAAGUUUUGAAUUAUUGUGAUUUAUAAUAUUUGUUCUUCUAUUCUACUAAUUAGAAGUGACAUAGUAAAAUUAUUAUAAAAAAUAUCUAUGAAAAAGAUUAAGUGGGAUCAUAUAAGACGUCAAGUUAAUUUAAAAUAUCAAGAGUUAAAUUAUCAUUUUAUAUCUAUUUUAUUUUUUAUUAAAUAUCAUUAAUUUUUUAAUUUUUAGAUGACUUAUAAUAAUUAAUUAUUACUGAUAUAGUAAAAUCACGAUUGAAGCAGCUAAAACAGUCAUGUCAUUAAUGUCUAUUUUAUGUUAUUUAUUAAAUAUUUUAUUUUUAUAUAAAUAACUUAUAAUAAUUUAUUAGGGGUGAUAUAGUAAUAUUACGGUUUAAGCAGCUGAAGAAGGCAUGUCGCCCAUGAGCAGCCUGCUUUAGCUGCUUCAUUUUCAUUUAUUACAUAGGAGAAUUACUUUAAAAAAAUACUUGUAAAACAAAUUUAAGAAGACUUCAUAUAAGACGUCAAGUUAAUUUAAAACAUCAAGAGUUAAUUUUUAUUUUAUGUCUUUACUUUUUUUAUUAAAUAUUAUUAAUUUUUAAUCCUUGGAUGACUUAUAAUAAUUAAUUAAGGGUGACACGGUAAAACUACUAUUGAACCAGUCGAAGCAGACACCUCAUAAGUGUCUAUUUUAUUUUUUAAUUAAAUAUUAUUAAUUUUUAUUAUGUAAAUAACUUAUAAUAUUUAAUCAGAAGUAUAAUAAUUAAUUAGAGGUGAUAUAGUAAAAUUACAAUUGAAGAAAUUAAAAUAGACAUGUAUUUAAUUAGGGGUACAAUAAUUAAAUUAGGGCGAUAUAGUAAAAUUAUGGUUGAAGCAGCUGAAACAGACAUGUCAAAAAUGUCUAUUUUAUUUUUUAUUAAAUAUUUUUAAUUUUUUAAUACAUAAAUGACUUAUAAUAAUUAAUUAGAAUAAUAUAGUAAAAUUUCAGUUGAAGCAGCUGAAGCAGGUAUGUCAUAAAUGUCUAUUUUAUUUUUUAUUAAAUAUUUUUAAUUUUUUAAUACAUAAAUGACUUAUAAUAAUUAAUUAGAAUAAUAUAGUAAAAUUUCAGUUGAAGCAGCUGAAGCAGGUAUGUCAUAAAUGUCUAUUUUAUUUUUUAUUAAAUAUAUUAAUUUUCUAAUACAUAAAUGACUAAUACUCCCUCCGUCCCAUUUUAUAUGUCUUCAUUUGACUGGACACGGAGUUUACAAAAAAAGGGAAGACUUGAUAAAGUUUACCAAAUUAUCCUUUAUAAAAAAAUGUGUUAAUAUCUUUUUUUAAUUAAGUGGGACCAAUAAGGGUAAAAGGAUAAUUGUGUCUUUAAAAAGUUGCUUAAUAAGGAAAGGCGACACUUAUUUUGGGACGGACUAAAAAGAAAAUAAUGACACAUAAUUUGGGAUGGAGGGAGUAAUAAUUAAUUAAAGAUGAUAUAGUAAAAUAACUGUUGAAAUAGCUGAAGCAGGCAUGUCGACUUUGUACCUUCUUUAGCACUCAAACUCCCUCUUAUAUAUAAGUAAUGUGGUUUCAACUGCUAGGAAAAUUGCACAGUACAGAUAAGAUAACAAAAAUGACAUCUAUGGUCACUUAGCUUUGUGUGUACUACGUAAAAGUCAUUUUUUUAUUCAUUACACAAAAAGUUAUUUUAUUUUGUUUCGGUCAUCACAAAAGUUAAUGUGACUGAAUUUUACAAUAAUCCCACCAGAAAAAUGAUGUGGCAACCUUAAUUAAUUCUUACUUUUAAUUAAGAGAAUAUAAUGUAUUACUCAUAUCUUGAUCCUUUUUAUGUGUGCCUAAAUCAAUUUUCCUUAUGAAUUAUAUAAUGGAAGAAUAUCAAAUUCUUAAUAGAUUAGGCUACCUAGUGAAAGCUAUUUUCAUAAAAGAAAUAUUGCAUCUGUCUACCAAAAGGUGCAUUAAAAAAGAAUAAUAAACAAGAUAAAUUCUUCAAAACUCAUUAAAUAGAAAUAAGUGUAUAACUAUUCGUUUCAUUUUAUGUGGCAUGCUUUGACUAGGCAUGGAGUUUAAAAAAUAAGAAAAAAAUUGAUGAUGUUUACCAAAUUGCCCUUUAUUAAAAAACAUACAAUUACUAUCUUUAAUUAAGUGGGACUUUAUAAGUGGGAUCAACAAGGAUAAAAGUGGAUUGUGUCUUUAAAUAGUUACCAAAUAAGAAAAUGUGACAUUCUUUUUGAGACGGACCAAAAAUAAAAUGACGACACAUAAAAUGGGACAAAAGAAUUAUUAUCUUUUUAAAGAUUAUUUUAAUUCUUUGAAGAUAAAUCAACAUGCUAAAGAUAAUUUUAAAAUAAAUUUUUUUUAAUUUUGUCAUCGAAUAAGUAUUGUCAAAAUUUGUACAAAUAAUAUUAUUGAUAGUUGUGUUAAUAAAAAUAUAAGUAAUUUAAUAGAUAAAAUAAAUUAUUGAAUAUUUAAUUUUUAUAUUUAUCAUUUAAAAUAAAAUCUUUAUAAUUUUGUCAUCGAAUAAGUAUUGUCAAAAUUUGUACAUAUAAUAUUAUCAACUACAUGUCAUAAUUUGAAAAGGGAGAAAAGUAAUUUUAUCAACAACACAAUUUUAGAGGAAGAAAAUAAUUUUAUCAACUUCUUAUCACAAUUUUAGAUGAGAAAAGUAAUUACCAACUGCAUAUCACAAUUUUAAAGGAUUUUAAAAAUUUUAAAUUACCACAAUCUUAUCAAUUACAUGUCUUAUUUUAGAGGGGAAAAAUAAUUUACCAACAGAUGCCUCAAUUUUAGAAGAUUUUAAGAAAAUAAAAACAACCAUAGUGCUAUUGUGAAGACUACCAAAUUUUGGUAUCCUCCCUUAUAUAUAAGAACUAGUUUCACGAGGCCUGUGCUAAGCUCAGGCCCAAGUUAUAGAUAUAUAAUUAGAAAUUUCAUAUAAUUAUAAUAUUUUAAUUUAAAGAAACAAAUCUUAUAUCGUAUUUUCUUACUGCAUAAUUAAUAUGUAUCUCCUUAAUUUUUUCUCUAAAAAGUACAAAGUAUUUUUACUAAAUUACUCGAUAAAUAAUGUAAGGAGUAAUUUAAUAUUUCCUCUGAUUCAUAUUUUAUAAAUUUAUUUUUGCUUGGGCACACUUUUAUAAUUAUGUUUCUCCAAGAAAGUAAUUUUUUUUUUUACUAUAUUAUCCUUGAAUAAUUAAUAUCAAUUUAAUAUAAUUUCUGAAUUAUGCAAGAAUUGACUUAUCUAAAUAAGAAAAAAGGUUUAAAGAAAUUAUUAAUAUGGUCUUGACCAUGUAUAAGAUCAUUUAUUACCCCCUCGUAAAAAUUAGGGAUAGGAGAAGGGGAAAAGAAAGAGGUGGAUUAAAUUGUGGGAAUUGAAUCUUCAUCAACAAAGUGAGAGUUCAUGUAGUCAAUCAAGCUACUAAGACUCCCUAUUCCCUUGUUUCAAUUUGUUUGAUAUAUUUUUCUCUUUAGUUUUGUUUAAAAAGAAUGUUUGCUUUUCUUUUUAUCAAUUCUUUAAUUUUAACUAUCCACUUAACAUAUUUAAUACCCAACAUUAAAAAAUAUUAAUUUACAACAUAAAAUUUAAAAUUUUAGUUGAUUUUUUAAAAUCUUGCUUUAGACUAAAAUAUGUCAAAUAAAUUAAAAUGGAGGAAGAAUAUGAACAAAGGAAUAAGGAAAGAUUAAAAAAAAAAACAAAAGAAGUAAGAAUAAUCAUAGAUUGAAAAACAAGGAAUCAAAAGAAAUAAGGAGAAAACCGAUUAACAACAUCAAUAUACAACCAACCAUAGAGUUCCAUGUUAUAGUGGACAAAGAAAAUAGAAAAACUCAAAUAUGUCAUCGAAUUAUAGAAAAUGGUUCAUUUAUGUCAUUCAUUAAAAGUUGGGAAAAGGCUCAAAUAUGUCAUCGAUCUUUGAGAAAAGGCUCAUCUGUGUCAUUCAUUUAAAGUUUGGCUCAUUCAUGUCAUUGCCAUUACAAAAAAUGCUCAUUCAUGCCAUUUUUUAGCAAUCUAGUUUGGUGAUUUUUGACAAAACCAUUUUGUACAUGUGGUCACCAAUGAUUCGUCCGUGUCAUUAAUUAAAUAAGCCAAAAAUAUUAAGAAAAAAGGCUCAAUUAUAUCAUUGAACUAUUAGAAAUGACUCAUUUAUGCCAUCAGUUAAAAGUUCGGCUCAUUCGUGUCAUCGCUGUUAUAAACCAACUCAUCAUAUGAUUACUUUUUAACGGUGAAUUUUCAAAAAUAGCUUUACCAUGUGAUAUUUUAAUAGAGGUAUGCAUCAUUAAUUAAAAUAAAUCAAUAUUAGUUUGAAAAUAUCUUACACCCAUUAAAAAGAACCAAUCCAUUUAAGAUAACCCGACUCACACCCAUUAAAGUAUUUUUUUUCUACAACAACAACUAUAUUUCUGAUCAUAAAAAUUAUGAUUAGUGUAUAUCCUCUUGCCGUUUCUUAUUGAUUUUAAAUCAUUAUAAAUGUUAUGCUUAUAGAAGCCUCAAAAGUUCUAUCCUACAGUAAUUUUUUUUUUAUCCUACAGUAACUUUUUUUUUAUCCUACAGUAACUGAUUAGUUAUAAUUCCACUGACUCCAAUAUAUAUUCCAAAGUUGUAAGAAAGAGAAGCCAAUGAACGAUUAGGGCAAGCAAGAAAAAGGAGGCGUACCAAUAGAACUUCUCCAUUCACCCAUCAUACUAACUAAUUUCAGAUAUUUUGAAAUUAAUAUAGAUUUAUUUUAAUUAAUGACGUGGAUCUCUAAUAAAAGGCCAUGUGACAGAACUAUUUUUGAAAAUUCACCGCAAAUAAGUAAUCACAUGGAUGAACUAAUUUUUAUAACAACGAUGGUACGAAUGAGCUGAACUUUUAACCGAUGACAUAAAUGAUCCAUUUCUGAUAAUUCAAUGACAUAUUUGAACUUUUUUUCUUAUUUUAAUUAAUAAUGUGGACCUCAAUUAAAAGGCUACAUGACAAAGCUGUUUUUGAAAAUUCACGUUAAAAAUAAUGACAUGGAUGAGAUGGUUUUGUUAUGGCGAUGGCAUGAAUGAGCAAACUUUUAACUAAUGGAAUUAAUGAGUCAUUUCUAAUAGUUCAAUGACAUAUUUAAAUCUUUUCUAUAAGUUUGGCUAAUCUAUGUCAUCAGCUUUGAAAGUUGGACCAUCUAUGCCACUGUCGUUACAGAAAAAUUCACUUGUUCCAUUAUUUUGCAAUGGUGAUUUUGCAAAACUACUUUGCCACAUGACUUCUUAUUAGAAGUCCACAUCACCAAAUCUAACUCAACCUAUAUUAUGUAAAUCAAAAUAAAAAAUCAUACCCAUUAAAAUAAAACCUGACACGACUAAUGAAUUUGAUUUUGUUUUUAAUUAGUUCAACUUUUAUUUUUAAAAAGUUCAACUUUUAUUUUUAAAAAGUUCAAUUUUUAUUUCAACUAUGUGAAAUAUAUUUUAUUUUAAAGAAUUUUAUUUUUAAAUUUUUAAUUUUUAAUUUUAAGUAAUAUUAAUUGGUUUAGAUUUAUAAUAUGGACCUUUAAUAAGAGGCCAUGUGGCAAAAAUAAUUUUGCAAAAAUUACUAUUAUAAAAUGCUAGCAUUAAUGAACUUUCUGUAAUGACAGUGAUGUAGGUGAGCCAAACUUUCAAUGAUAGUGACAUAGAUGAGCUUUAAAUGAUAGUGAUAUAUAGGGUUGUACAUAGGUCGGGUUGGUUCAUUUUUUAUUAGAAAAAAAAAACAAACCAAUCAUGUUGGUUCAUUAAAACUAUAAACCAAAUCAAACCAACAUAAAAUUAAUUUUUUCGGUUUAGGUUUUAGUUUUUUUUUUGGGUUUUUUGAUUUUUUUAUUUUUUUGUUUUUUAAAUAAUAUUUAGUUUUUACAAUUAUAUUGUGAUCGAAGAUUAGAUCAAAUAUCUUUUCACUCAUGUGCUAAUAAAAAACCAUAAUUAUAGAGAAAUGAGGAGCGAAAAACUCUCUUGAAACUAAAAAGUGAGAUGAAGUGUGAAAAGUUUAGGUUUUAAGUUUAUAUUGGGUUUUGAAUCAUUUAAUUAGCAAUUAAUGGACAAAUAUUACAACUUAAAGGCCCAAAUCUAAAUAUAUAUCUACAUCUACUUUUAAAUUAUUGAAAAUUACUAAAACUAGUUGAAAAGGUAUUUAAAAAAUAGAUUAUAAUUAAUAUUUUACGUAUAAAAAAGUUCAAAUAUUAUAUCUAUACUAUAUUAAAAGUGUGAAGGGCCUUAAAAAUGACGUUUUGACUUUUUUUCCUUCAUUAGAAGCCUCUGCAAUAGAUAAAAAUAUGUUUUUACUAUUUUUCUUAAUUAAUUAUUUAAUUAGAUUAAAGACUCCUAAAAUAUAUGAAAAGAAUUUAAUAACUCCUAAAAUAUAUAGAAAGAAUCCUGAUAAACUAAAAAAGUACUUCAUAAUUUAAAAAUAUAAAGAAGAAUAAGUAGAAUAUUAUGAAUAAAAUUGUAGGACAAGUCAAAUUUAAAAAAGGAAGAAAUCGUUGUGCACGUAAAAAAAAAGGAGGCAAAAAAAUUUAUAUUUAAUUAUAUGAUUUAGAAAAGGAAAACUUUAUAAUUAGAAUAAAUUUAAUUUAUUUUUCCUACGCAUGAGUUUUAGGAUUUAAUAACAUAUAUUUGUUGAUUUUGAUUAUUUAAUCUAGGUAAUAUUUAUUACUUCUAAAAAUAGAAUUUUGCCCUAUAUAAAAAAUAUUCUUUAUAAUUCUAUUUAAGUAAUAUUUNNNNNNNNNNNNNNNNNNNNNNNNNNNNNNNNNNNNNNNNNNNNNNNNNNNNNNNNNNNNNNNNNNNNNNNNNNNNNNNNNNNNNNNNNNNNNNNNNNNNNNNNNNNNNNNNNNNNNNNNNNNNNNNNNNNNNNNNNNNNNNNNNNNNNNNNAGAUUAUAUAAGAAGAAUAUUAAUCAACAAUUGACAUUGAUCUCUCUUUUGAUAAUUUCUUAUGUUUCUCUUUUAGUUGAAAGUUUCUGAUCGAAAAAUUGGAUAAGUAUGCUGCCGCCGAAUGAAGUUGUCAAAAAUUAAAGGUUUAUUGAUCUUUUUUUAUUUUACUUUCUUUGCGUAAACAUGACAUAAUUUUGAUUAUCGUGACAUAAAAAGGGCUCCAAUCCCAUUUUUUUUUUUUAAAAAAAACAUAUCAAGGUCACGAAUCAGGAUAAGACGUUAAAUUUUUUUCUAUUUAUGAGUCAUGUUUUUUGUAACAUCGUAACUUUUAUGUACAAUUCAACCACUAUAGAAAUCCAUAUUAUUUGUAAGUGAGACAUAUUAAUUGUUAUUUAUGUUAAAGAAAAUUGUAAUACUAAUUGAUGACAUUAACAUAAAAAAGGCGGCUAUGGAAUAUAAUUUCAAAGAACAAAAUAAAAUCGAAGCAAAAAAGUUGUUUGUAGUAUAAUCAUUUUCACCAAUAUCACAUUAUGCAUAGUACCAUCCUUUAUCAAAGGUUGGGUUUGAUUGAGUUGGUUUUAGUUUAUAUGUAAAUGUCUUGGUUGCUUGUAAUCACAUGUGAAUAUUUGAUCUUCAUAAUCUAAAUUUAAAGAUUUGAUGAUAUAGAGCCACAUACAAAUGUAGAUGUAGGAAUUCNNNNNNNNNNNNNNNNNNNNNNNNNNNNNNNNNNNNNNNNNNNNNNNNNNNNNNNNNNNNNNNNNNNNNNNNNNNNNNNNNNNNNNNNNNNNNNNNNNNNNNNNNNNNNNNNNNNNNNNNNNNNNNNNNNNNNNNNNNNNNNNNNNNNNNNNNNNNNNNNNNNNNNNNNNNNNNNNNNNNNNNNNNNNNNNNNNNNNNNNNNNNNNNNNNNNNNNNNNNNNNNNNNNNNNNNNNNNNNNNNNNNNNNNNNNNNNNNNNNNNNNNNNNNNNNNNNNNNNNNNNNNNNNNNNNNNNNNNNNNNNNNNNNNNNNNNNNNNNNNNNNNNNNNNNNNNNNNNNNNNNNNNNNNNNNNNNNNNNNNNNNNNNNNNNNNNNNNNNNNNNNNNNNNNNNNNNNNNNNNNNNNNNNNNNNNNNNNNNNNNNNNNNNNNNNNNNNNNNNNNNNNNNNNNNNNNNNNNNNNNNNNNNNNNNNNNNNNNNNNNNNNNNNNNNNNNNNNNNNNNNNNNNNNNNNNNNNAGUUUGACUUUUUUUUGGUCAACACCAAACCAAACCAACAAUGGUCGGUUUUUUUUUUCUAACGCCAAACCAAUCAAACCAAAUCAUAAGUCAGUUUUUUUCUCGAUUUGGUUUGGUUAGUCGGUUCGGUUUGACUUGAUGAUUUGGUCUGUACACCCCUAGUGAUAUAUAUGAGUCAAACUUAUGGAGGAUGACAUAAAUAUGUUAUUUCUAAUAAUUCGAUAAAAUAUUUUAAUUUUUUUUUAAGAAAAUAAAAUAAGUAAACAAAUUACAGCAAAACAAUGAAGUGACCACGUGUAGCUUUUCCAAGAAAAUAAAUAAGUAAACAAAUUACAGCAAAACAAUGAAGUAGCUUUUCCAAGAAAAUAAAAUAAGUAAACAAAUUAUAGCAAAACAAUGAAUUGACCACAUGUAGCUUGACUAUUUGCUGUCAUAAAAGCAUAUUCCUCAUUUCCUUUUGUGAGGACGACGAAUCUGAAGAUUUUCGUUUAUAUAUAGUGUAACUAGUGUCAGUUGGAUCGUGCUAAAGCCUGAGUCCAAACUACAUGAAUAUUUAUACUUAUAAUUUUUUCUGUUUUUUGCUACUCUUAUCUUUUAUUUCUUUUUGUAAUAUUAUAGUAUUAGUUGAAAGUAGUUUUGUCACGACCCAAAAUAAAGGUCAUGAUGACACUUGUCGUGGCGGACCUGAAAAGUAAGCCUAUCACCCAAACUGAUACAAAAAGAAGAAAAGACAGAAAUAUCCCACGGUAAGGUUUCUAGAACAAAGACGAACCAUAUAAGUAAUCAUAACAAUGUGGAAAGAACUUAUCCAAAAUACCAAUCAUGUUCAAAAUUAGGUGUCAAUAGUGUAAGAACUACUAAUACAUUCCAAGAGUCAAAUGUAUCAAAAAAAUAACCACAAAGGAAUAAUAACUGUCUUCGAAUACUAAUAAAGACAUAACAACUAUAGAAAGAUAGAGGAGAACUUCGGACGCAUGAAUGUCGAACCGCUACCUUGGAAGCUCCAACAAUCGCCCGAGUCAAUCAAGCUGAGGUGCACUUGAGCUAAGACCUACACUGAAAGGGUGCAAUAGGCAUGAAUACGGUCCACUUGUACUCAGUAGGUAUCAUAGGCAGACCAAGCUAAGUAGUAAAUAAAGCACACAAAAUAUACACUAAGGACACGCCACCUGCAAUCAGAAAAUGUCCCACAAUGGUAGCCCACACCGUUUGCACUAAUAGUUCUAAUAUAUCUCACAUAUAGUACAAUAACACACCAAGGUAUAGAACACAAGUAUACAUUAUGUCACAUAUAAAUAGAAUAAGAGAGAAUGUAGAUACAAGAUCAUCAAAUACAAGUAAAGGAAGGUAAGACAAAUACAUAGAUGACAAGUCAAUAAGACAAUACAACACAACAUAAACACAAUAAAGUAAGUGCAAUGUAUAUGAUGAUGAUGCACGAGGUCAUCUCACAACCUCUGGGAUCGUCGCAAAAUCCCCGUAUACACCUACAGAGCUAAAGAUUCCCUACGUAGGUCCCAUGGGGGGUUCGUCAAUUCAUAUACAAUCCGCAUAUCUCAUAUAUCCUUUUAGGAACAUCCCUCGAAAAGGGUUUUAUAAGGUGUUACAAUAUCUUUUAAAAAGGUGUUGUCAGUGUUUCUCAGAUGUUGCCACGGUGGUACCAAUAUUUCAUGAAUGAGUAUGAUAUGAAGAUGUAAUGCACACAACCAAUCACAUCUGUGUCGAUAUUCGCUCAUUAUUUUUGUAUCAUCCAUGAAUUUUCAGAUGUCUCAUUUGCCAAUAAAGUAUGAAUAUAAUCACAAUACACCAAUGGUGCCACAUUAGCAUUUUAACAACACAAUACAAUUAUUCAUAUGUAUUCAAGGCUAUCACUAUCACAUAGGACCCUACACGGUCACACAUAUCACAUAAUAACUCAAUUUUGAUUAUUACAUCACAUAUAGGACCCCACACGGGCACAACACAUAAUAGCCAUUUUUCAUGAUUAGUUUCCACCCUUAACAUGCAUUUUGUAUCAUCAUUUACUACCCAGCCCAGUCUGAAAGAGUUAAGCCAUAACCUACCUCGAAGCCGAAACCGAUCCGCUACACUUGAACCUGCGAUCUUACUUUUCACGAACAAUUCCAAACUCUACUAAAAAUAUCAAAUAUGAAAUCUACACGUAAGAAAAACAACGACACCCAUAUUGACUACUUUUGGUUCGAAAGCAAAAUGGACCCCCAAAAUGGGUUUUCAAAAAAGAAGAUCAAAAUCGUAAAGUCAAAAACAUGUUCCCCAUAUUUUUAGGAACCUACAGCUGAAAACCCAAGUUAAAUCGAGUAAAAAAUGGGGUUCAAAUCGAAGGAAAGCCAUUUUUGAGCUUUACCGGGUAAAAUCUUUGAAAUCCGGGUUAAAAUCAAGAAUCAAAGUUGUUUUGAAGGUUAAAUUGAUGAAAAACUAGUAAUUAUAAAAAUAUUAUUCAAGUGAAAUGAAGUGAAAUUUGAGUUGAAAAUCAUGCCCUAAGAUUUUUGGGGUUUUGAGAAAUUAAUUAAGAAAUUACUAAGAAAAGGGUGAAUUCUUACAUUUAAUCCAUAAUAAAACCAAGAAAAAGGUGUUAAUCUAGCUUUUCAAGCUCCCACAAACUUUACUUUUAAGCUCCCAAACUAUUUAAGGUUUAACUCUCUAGAGGCAAGAUGAAAAAUGAGCAAAAUAGGUAAAAAAAAAAAUAGAACUAUUUAUCAGUGCAGAUUUUUUUCUACACAACUGUUUUUUUAAGCUCAAUUCGGACUUCAACGGGGUGUCCGAAAUUCGUUCAGAGUACGAUACACACAAACAAACUAUGCAACCAUACUAAAUUCGACGUUCAGGAUGCGUUGGCGAUAUCAGAUUUUUUAAACAAAUGUUGUUUUCACAAAAUUGACCCCCGAAACUCGAAAUUAUUAUUUUUCAACUCGAGGGUCAAAAUGAGAUUUAAAAGCCGUAAAAUCAUACUAAACAUGCUAACACCCUAAAAUCAAUAUUUCAAAUCUACUGGCAAAGUCGUAUUUUCCAUCCGAGGUCAUUUCGAUCAAAUGUGGGUCCCACACCCAAUCUAAAAUGAUUGUUAUUUCAUGUUGAAUUACCUUCAUUAUCUUUUUCUCAAUUAAACUUAUUGACUAAUUCAUUUUAUUUUUAAGAAAUACAAUAUUUAAGUAAUAUAAAAAAUAUUUGAUGCUACAAAUUAUUGUAUGAUUACGUCAAUAAAGUUAAUUUAUAAAUAAAGAUAACAUUUAACUUAAAUAGUUGAAAGUCUGAUUUAGCAAAAUACUUUUGUAAAUGUUUUUUCAAUGGGUCAAAUCUUACAAGAUCAUUAAAACUUCAAUUAGGGAUAAAAUAGAUUUUAAAAAGUUGGGUGUUAUCUCUUAUUAUUUUUUCAUGUAAAAGAAAUCGUUAAUUUUUUAAUUAAUUUUUAAUUUAAUUGGAUAAUAGAUCUUUUGUGGUGUUACUAUCACUUUUUCUAUGACUCAUUACUUUUUUUUAUAGCAUUUUAAAUGUCAAUAUAAUUAUUUAAAUUUACAACAACAACAACAAACCCAGUAUAUUCCCACAUAGUGAGGUCUGGGGAGGGUAGAAUGUACACAGUCCGUACCACACAUCCAAAGAAGUAGAGAGACUGUUUCCGAUAGACCCCAGCUCAACAAAAAGGACCAAGACCUUAGUUAAACAUCGCAAGCAUACAACAUGAUAAAAUAAUAACGGUACCACAACCACAAAAAGUACAUUAACUAACAAAAGGCACCCCCCUCCCCCCAACCCUAGCACUACCAACCAAGCGACACGAGACUCACCUAACUCCCGCCUAUGACUUGACCAUACCCCUUAGCCCUCUACCCUAAUACUCUUCCUCCAAACCUUCCUAUCGAGGGUCAUGUCCUCAGUGAGUCGUAAUUGCUCCAUGUCAUGUCUAAUCACUUCUCUCCAGUAUUUCUUUGGUCUACCCCUACCCUGCUUGAAACCAUCAAAGGCCAACCUCUCACAUCUAUGAACUGGAGCAUCCUUGCCUCUUCUUAUCACAUGCCCAAACCAUCUCAGCCUCCCAUCCCGAAUCUUAUUUUCCACCGAUGCUACUUCCACCCUAUCCCGAAUAGUCUCAUUCCUAACCCUGUCAGCCCUCGUGAUACCACACAUCAAAUGCAAAAUCAUCAUUUCUGCCACCUUUAACUUCUGGACAUGAGAAUUCUUCAUAGGCCAACACUCCGCGUCAUACAAUAUAGCCGGCCGGACUGCAACUCUGUAGAAUUUGCCUUUAAGCUUGGGAGACACCUUCUUAUCAUAAAGAAUUCCCGAGGUGAGCCGUCAUUUCAACCAACUCACCCCAAUACGGUGAGAGACAUCCUCGUCAUUCUCUCUAUUCCCCUGAAUCAUAGACCCAAGGUACUUAAAACUAUCCCUCUUACAAACCACUUGAGACUACAACUUCACUACUACCUCAUCCUCUUUCCUCAUAUCACUAAAUUUUCACUCCAAGUAGUCCUACUCAACUUGAAACCUUUAGCUUCUAGGGUUUGUCCUCCAAACCUCCAACUUAUCAUUAACACCUCGAUGAGACUCAUCAAUUAAGACUACAUCAUUCGUAAAAAGCAUACACCAUGGCACCUCACCUUGAAUACUCUGUGUCAAAACAUCCAUUACCACGACAAAUAAAAAUAGACUCAGAGUUGAACCCUGGUGAAACCCAGUAAGUACCAAAAAAUGCUCGGAAUCCCCUCCCACAGUCCUUACUUGAGUCUUCACCCCCUCGUACAUAUCCCUAAUCGAAUGAAUGUAUGCCACAGGGACCCCCUCACCUCCAAGCAUCUCCAAAGAACCUCUCUAGGGACUUUAUCAUAUGCCUUUUCCAAGUCAAUAAACACCAUGUGCAGGUCGCUCUUCCUUUCUCUAUACUGCUCCACUAGUCUCCGCACUAGGUGAAUUACCUCAGUCGUCGAGCGACCAGGAAUAAAACCAAAUCGAUUCUCUGAAAUUGACACUAUCUUUCUCAACCUCCGCUCCACCACUCUCUCUCAAAUAUUUAUCAUGUGACUCAACAACUUAAUACCUCGGUAGUUGUUACAACUCUGAAUAUCACCCUUGUUCUUAUAAAGAGGAAUCAUCGUGCUUUAUCUCCAUGCCUCAGGCAUCUUAGCUGACUUAAAAAUGUUGUUGAAUAAGUCAGUCAACCACCUCAACUCCGUCCCACUUGCUAACUUCCAAAAAUCCAUUGGAAUCUCAUCGGGCCCCGUUACCCUGCCUCUUCACGUCUUGCGAAUAGCCUCACAAACCUCCUCCACCUUAAAAAGCCAACAAUAGUCAAAAUCUCGAUAUUCUUCAAUGUGCUCCAACUCCCCUAGUACAAUGCCUCUUACCCCUUCAUCAUUCAGGAGCCUAUGAAAAUACGACUGCCAUCUUUUCUUAAUAAGAAUGUAAUCUACCAAAAAUCUACCAUCCUCCUUCUUAAUGCACUUAACUUGGUCCAGAUCCCGACCCUUACGCUUCCUAGAUUUGGCAAGCCUAUACAUCAUCUUCUCCUCGCCCUUCUCCUUUAGUCCCCCAUAUAAUCUCUCAAAUGCUAUUGUCUUAGCAGCAGUGACCGCUAACUUAGCCUCCUUUCUAGCUAACUUGUACUCCUCCCUUCUCACCCAUCUUUCUUCGUCAACCUUACUCUGAACCAACUUUACGUAAGCCAUCUUCUUCGACUCCACCUUCUUCUUAACUUCUUUAUUCCACCACCAAUCCCCCCAAUGUCGGCCAGACCAACCCCUCGAGGCACCCAAAACCUCUCUAGCUAUCUUCUUGAUGUAACUCGCAGUUGUAUCCCACAUACUAUCCACGUUCCCCCUAUAUUCCCAUGCCUCCAUCCUCUCUAACCUCGCUCCUAUCUCCAAAGUAGUAGCCGAAGUCAGGUCACCCCACCUGACUCUAAGUCGACCCUCCCUACCCCUUUUCUCUUUUCCCUUCUUAAUAUUCAAGUCCAUCACUAGAUGUCUAUGCUGGGUCGAAAGGUUCUCACUCGGAAGGACCUUACAAUCCUUACACAAAUCUCUAUCCCCCUUCCUAAGCAGCAAAAAGUCAAUUUGAGUUUUGGCUAACCUACUACAGAAAGUAACCAGAUGCUCCUCCUUCUUCAAAAAAUAGGUUUUCAUUACCACCAACUCAAAGGCCCUCGCAAAAUCCAAAAGAGCGGAUCCUACAUCAUUCCUAUCCCCAAAUCCAAAGUCUUCAUGCACCUCCCCAUAUCCUACCGUUAAAGCCCCGAUGUGCCCAUUGAAGUCCUCUCCUAUGAAAAUCUUCUCCGAGAUAGGCACGCUACUAACCACCUCGUCUAAAACCUCCCAAAAUCUCUUCUUCUCCUCCUCAUCCAGGCCUACCUAUGGCGCAUAAGCACUACAGAUGUUCACCGUAAACCCCCUAAUGACUAACUUAAUAGUCAUCACCCCAUCGCUAACCCUAUCAACUUCCACUACCUGCUCCCUAAGCUCUUCAUCCACUAAUAUACCUACACCAUUCCUACGCCUGUCACUACCCGAAUACCAUGACUUGCACUCAUCCAUAUCCCUAGCUUUAGAACCUACCCACUUUGUCUCCUGGACACAUGAAAUAUUGAUCCUUCUCUUCCUAAGGAUCUUAACCAGCUCUAUCGACUUACCCUGAAGGGUCCCUAUGUUCCACGACCCUACUCUCAACCUAUCAUCUCUCGAAACCCCUCCCAUAAUACCUCUGCCUCUCCACCUGACCCCAACACCGUACCCCAACCCCACAGGACAUGACCCUAUUCCACCAUUUACCCCCAAAGCCAUAACUCAAUACCGGACAACAAGAAAAUUAUUUAAAUUUACAAAAAUGAAAAUAUUGUUUUAGUUAUUGUAUAAUGGCAAGUGAAGUAAUAUUGAACUUCAUCAAGGAUAAUAUAAAAAAGGAGAUAAAAUAAAUUAAUAUGAAAUAAUAAGUUAAAACAAAUGUCAAAGGGUAAAUUUAGAAAAAGAAACCUUUUAAAGUAAUUUACGAGCAUUAGUUGCAAUCUAACUAAAAAUGACAAAAUAUUUGGAUAAGCAUUAGUUGAAAUCCAAAUACUACCAAAUCUUUAGAUUCUUUUCAUAUAAAAGAAAUCAUCAAUUUUUUUUAUUAAUUUUUAAUUUAAUUGGAUAAAUAGAUCUUUUAUGCUGUCACUCUCACUUUUUCUAUGACUCAUUACAAUUUUUAUAGCAUUUUAAAUGUCAAUGUAAUUAUUUAAAUUUACAAAAAUGAAAAUGUGAUUCUUUUCAUAUAAAAGAAAUCGUCAAUUUUUUUAAUUAAUUUUUAAUUUAAUUGGAUAAAUAGAUCUUUUAUGAUGUCACUAUCACUUUUUCUAUGACUUGUUACUUUCUUUAUUGCAUUUUAAAUGUCAAUUUAAUUAUUUAAAUUUAUAAGAAUGAAAAUGUUUUUUUAGUGACUGUAUAAUGGCAAGUGAAGUAAUAUUGAACUUAAUCAACGAUAAUAUAAAAAAGGAAACAAACAAAUUGAUAUGAAAUAAUAAAUUAAAACUAAUUUCAAAGGGUAAAUUUAGAAAAAUCAACCUUUUAAAGUACUUGAUAAACAUUAGUUGCAAUCUAACUAAAGAUUACUAAAUAUUUGGAUAAACAUUAGAUGAAAUCCAACUAAGUACUACCAAAUCUUUGGAUUCUCCCUUAUUACAUAUAUUGGUUACGUAAGGCCCGUGCUAAGUCCGGGCCCAAACUCCAAAUAUAACAAAUGUAAUUUUAAUAAAAUUAAAUAAAUAUAAUUUAUAGCUAUAAUGUAAUAUUCUAUAUCACUUUAAUUCUAGUUGUACAAAGAAAAGGAAAAGUGAGUGGUGGGCCGUCCAUCUGUCCAAACCAAAAGGAAUUAGGAAAAGAGAAUGGGCUUAGCCCAUCUGCAAGUCUUAAAAAAGAAUGAUUAAUAAGGGAAUAAGAUGGAAAAGGGGAAAAACGUAUAUAGCAAUUAUUAGAUAGGAAUUACAACUUAUACCAUAACUUUCAUUUUUUCAAGUUAUAACAAAUCUUAUAAAAAAAUGUUUUUUUUAUUUUUUUAAAAAAUACAAAAAAGUAAUUAUUGAAAAGGAAAAUAAAGAUUUAAUACAACUAAUAUGCAAUAAUCCUUCCUUAAAUAUAGUUAUCCUUAAAUUGAUAUCAAUCCACCUGAAAUUCCUCUAACCGUUUUUCUUUUCUCCUAUUUUAAUGCUUCCAUCAAGAGUUUUUAUCUUCAUACACUACCUUUUUUUUAUACACCAUUUAGUUGUUCUAGUCACAGAUUGGUAUCACCUAAAUUUAUACACUAUCUUCUUUAUGAAUUUUGAUUGCAACGAGGAACCACUACAAACACUCAACAACGACUACCAAUCGCCAAAUUAAGACCUUUCAACUGGUAAAGAUCCUCUACAGAAGUAUGAUUAUUGCUCCCUUGGGGACUGUUCCAUAAAUUGGCAUCACCUAAAUUUAAUAUCGCAAUCCAUAAAUAUCAAUUUAUAUAUCUAGUUCAUACAAAUGCAACAUGUAAGAAAACACUUUAUAAACUGAUUCCAUUCAAUUUAUAAUCUUAAGUAUAUUUUCUUAAUUGAAUAUCACAACCACAUUAUACUCAUUCCAUAUAAAUAUAACAUGUGAGAAACUAUUUUAUAAACGUUGAAUGUAAUAUUGAUUUUAUACAGGUUUCGUACAUGAAAUAAUUCAAAAAAUACAAGUUUGUAUAUUUAUUUCAUACACUAAAAUAAAUAAUAACAUAUAAUAUUUGGUGAAAGUCGAUUUCUAUACCAACUUCUUCAAUCAUUAUACUUAUUUCAUAUUGAUUUUAUAUAGAAUUCAUACAUGAAAUAGUUUAAUAAGUAUAUACAAGAUAAUUUUCACUAUAUUAUUUUAUGAAAGAUUACGAUCUAUAUUUAAAUCCUUAUUUAUGUUGUUACCAACACAAACUGAUUGUUCAAUAUUUUUUCUCUAAUAUCUAUUGACGUAUCUUUUAUUAUUAUAUACAAUGAAUAUCUAAUAAAAAAAUUGACAAUACUCUUUAUAUCAUAUUAUUUUUAAAGAACAAAAGGAAAAAUAAAAGAAAGAGAAUUUCUGAGGAAGGAGAACAAAUCGUUGGUUGGAUAAUGAUUCACAAAGGAACAAAUCGUUGGUUGAGUAUUCUAGGACUUCUACGCGAAGUAGUAGAAUCGAAUUUUGGUUUAGACAUGAUUCACAAUGGAGAAUGAAAAAAACAAAUAUAUCAAUUUUAUGUUUUUUGAAAAGAAGAUGAAUAUCAUCUUAAACCCACUUUUUUUCAAUAAAGAAGAUGAAUAUUAUAUGAAACCCACUUUUUUUCAAUCUUGUAUUUUCAAGGAAAGAAUAAUUAAAAUAAUAUAUCUUUUAAUAAGUUGCUAUAACUUGUAACUAAAUUGCUAUUAAUGCAAUUAUCUAAAAGUGUUGCUAAAAUUUGUUAUUUUAGAUCUAAUAAUAUUAUAGGGGAUAAUUUUCUCAUGGAAAAGUGACUAUCAACUUCACGUGUAAGGCAGAAAAGGGGGAAAUAGAAAGAAAGCUUCAAACAACAACUUCCUACACGAAGAAAACAACAAGGAAAUUAUUAUUUUUUCUCUUGCAUUUUCUGGAGAGCACGAAGUGGCCUCAGCUAGUGCGACAAUAGUUAAAAGAGAAGUAGAAAAAAUGAGGUAAAUUUCUUAACUUGGUCCGUAAACUUGACUCGUAUAAUUUAUAACUUAUUUUGGGGUAGAAAGUUUAAGAAUCAAGGGUUAAAGUGAUAGAUAAAUCUUUAAAUUCCCACGAAAGGAGCGAGAAUAAUAGACGAUUGAAUUGUAACUUUUAUACUUUCGGGUUUGAGAUUAAGGUAAACCCUUUCCUACAUCUUUAUUUUGAUUUUGGGUAUGAAAUUCGAUGAAUUGAAAAAUACAAUGAAACUCUGAGGGCUGGGAAGUCUGAUUGUAUCAUGAUAGCCUAAAAUAAGGAUAUUAACUCGAGAAUGGAUAUGAUAUGAUUAUAGGUUUAAUCCAAGAAAGUGAUACAAAUCGUUCGGGGUGACAAAUUUAGUAUUUCAACAAGAGUACUCUGAGUAGUAAUCUUACCAUGAUUUGUGUUUGUUAACUUGCAUAUUUUAUACUUGAUUUUGAUGAAAUAAUGAGUUAUGAAAUGCUUUGAAAUUGCAUGUGGGGCAAGUCCUCUACUUGAUAUGAUAUUGAAAUUGUUAUUUGAGAUAUGAUUUUAUUACUGUGAAUAUUCUUUACUUACAUGAGAAAUAUGUAUUUUGACAUGUGUUUUUAUUAAAGUUGAAAUGUAACAUGAUUUGAUAUGAACUUUAAAUGAUAUGUACUAUUCUGAAAAAUGCUUUCAUAUGAAUAUCCUAUUGUAUACAAAGAAUUUAUAAAUGGGAGUAGACCUUGAUUUGAAUUCCGUAGCUAACGGCGGGAUUGUUUAGACUCAUGUACCAUAUAUUUACUGAUGACUGUUAUAGCCCUCGCUAGUGGAAAGGUAGAACUAGCAUACUGAUACUGAUAUGAUAUUAGACUCCUUUAUGAGGGGUCCACUGUUAUGGAUUAUUCUUGAUGACGAAGAAUACCACACUGAUUACAUGAUUCAUUCUUGAAAACCUCCCAAAUAUGUAAUAUUUGAUAUGAUACGAUGCUUUUUGAGUUUAUUACUGAACUAUUGGUUCACUUGUCUUAUAUGACACAAUGAUAUUGUUUAUCGUUACUAUUUUCUGAAAGAGCAUUAUUUCAUGAUGUUUUAUGACUUGUCCCCAUUUAAAUGGUUGUGGUUAAGUGCUAUUACUCACUGUGCUAGCAUCUCACUCCUCGCUAUUAUUUUUCAGAGAAUGCAUGUGACGGUGAGGAUUGCAUUGGCUAGAGGAUCCGAGUAGCAUAUUUUUAGUGAGCCCCGCAAUUGUUCGCGUGGGCUAUAGUUUAUUUAUUCGUUAUGUUUCCUUUUCUUGAAAACUCUUAGUUUGCUCCAUAGUCAUGUCUUUAGAGUUUGAGUAUUCUUUCAUUAUUUUGGAUUUGUGGAGUAUUUGACUCCCUCUUAUUUUUGGAGAUGGAUUUCGUAUUAUUAGUUGGUGGUAUUGGUGAAUUGUUGAUGAUCUAUGCUGAAUUGUGUUGGUGUUUGUGUGAUGGUUAUGCUGCUGGGUUGUUUUAUUGUUGAAUUGAGACAAAGAAUUUUCUUGUUAGGCCCACAAACAGGGAAAACUCUGCCCAAUUUUCGGUAGAAUUCUGAUGAGGCUUGCUUUGGAGUCCUAAACUCCUUAUCGUCGGUCAUGAUCCUAUUCUGGGUUGUGACAUAUAAUUAAUUAUGUUUUCUUUAAAAUAAAUUUUAGUAUUUUUAAGUUCCUUAAUUGGAUAAAUUUUAAAGGAAUAAGUUAUUUAUGGAAAGCAAGUUUAGCAGGAAAAUUAGCAAAUAUCAAAUAAAUAUAAGUGAUUUGAUAUUAUAUAAAUUGACAUGAUAAAUUAUGAUAAUUACAAAUCAAUAUUUUUAUGAGCUUGUGAGCAUAUGAAUCUUCGAUAUAGAUAUAUCUCUUUUGAUAUUUGUUAAUUUUCAUUCAUUAUUUUGUAUGUCACAAUUUUAUGUUAGUUAAAUGUGAUGACUUAAAUUUAGUAAAAAAUUCAAGAAAAAUCUUAAAUUCAUUAAGAUAUAUCCCAAAAAUCAAUUUUGUUCUUUCUAUACGUAUUAUGCUUACAAAUAUUGAUUCUUAAUUAACCAAAUACGAAAUUUCUACGACAAUUCGAUAUUGACGAAUGACACUACUUCAAUUUCAACACUCUAUGACACCAUUCAGUAGAUUCUACUUUUAGUAUUUCUAAUGCAUGUUUGAUUCUAAUAUUAUUUUUGAAGACCUCAUACUAAAUAUCAAUUAAUAUGAAUAUUAUAUUAAAAUUUUCAUUUUAAUUAUUAUUGUUUUAAAGAAAUGUAAAAAGUCUAGAGUUGAUAAGUAAAAGUAAAGAUAGAAAAUACUCCUCCGCUAACAAUACUUAUCCAUGUUAUUUUUCUUCGUCCAUCUUAAUUUUUCCACUUUUUUAUUUUUGAGAUGUUAAAUAAUAUUUAUCCAGUUUAUAAAAUCAAUGGAUAAUUUUCUUCUUCUUUUUUCCAUUUUACCAUUAGCAUUAAAUAUGGUUCAUUACCUAACACAUUUUUUAAAAUAUUAAAUCUAUUAUAUUCAAAGGGUAAUAGGAUAAAAUUACCCCCCAUCAUUUAUUAUUUCUUAAUUCAUGCGUCAAUAGAAAAGUAGAUAAGUAAAGAUGAAUGAAGAAGGUGCUAAAGAUAUUGUCCAACAAUAUUUGCCCAGUUUAGAAAAUCAAUGCAUAAUUAUCUGUUUUGAUUCAUUUUACCCUUAGUUAUUAAUUAUGGUUGUUAUACAAUGCAUUUUCAGCAUUAAAUUAAUUGCACUCAAAAAGUAAUUAAGUAGCCAAAUUAACUCUAUUAUUUAUUGUUAUAUCAUAUGUGUAUCAAGUUAAUAAUGAACAAUUAUUAUUGGACAAAGUGAUUUGAAUUUUUUACACUAAAUUAUAAAUCUCUGCAAUAGAUAAAAUUAUUUAAUUUUAAAUAAUCAAACGUACUUACGAUAUUAAAAGUGUGAAGGGCCUUAGAAAUAUUGUUUGAACUUUUUGCCCUUCAUUUAAAGAUUUCGCUUUAGAUAAAAUCGUCUUUUCAUUAUUUUUAUUAUUUUAAUAAUAUUAAAUACUAAAUAUAAUAAAAAAUAAAAUCCUUUCCUAACAAAAAUAGGAUACCUUUUCCAAUUAGGGUUGCUUAUCGGUUGGAUCAGUUGGAUAAUUAUGCUUAACGGUUUGACUUUUCGAUUAGUGGUUUUUAAAUAUACUAAUCCUCUAGCCACCCAAUAAGAUAACGGUUGGUUCGGUAUAAUAUUAGUAAUUAAUGGAUGGAUAUCGGAUGGUGUAACGGAUAAAUUUAAGAGAGAAUGAAAUAUCGUCCAAUUAUUGGUAGUUCCUCCGUUUCUUCACCGACUACGUUAUUUGUAUAAUAUGAUUGAUCUAUUUAUCAAUCUUUUAGGCUUCUUGAGUUUUGUUCGUGUAGUUAUUUAAUAGGUUAAAACAUCAAAUCAAAUAAGAAUUUUCUCUAGACCUAAAAUGUAUGUAGAAACAUUUUUUAAUUACUGGAUUGACAGAAAAAAAAUUAAAACUUUAAUAUAAACUUUGUGAAGGACACCUUUGGGUUGUUUCAUUUUUAUUGCUGUCCUUUGUGUUGACAAGAAUAAUUUAUGUUUUGGUUUGAGAAUUAAUUUUAGAUUUUCUUUAUAUUUUAGGGAGUCUGACUGGACUUUAUGGUUAGAUGUCACAAGAAGUGGCAUGUUAUUUUCUAAAUGAAGAAGUGAAUAGAAUAAUAAAUAUAGUUUUAUAUGUUGGAUUUACAAAAGAUAAUUAUAUAUCUAGGGGUAAAAAUAUAAUUAUAAUAAUUCUUAAUGGAUUAACGGUUUACCCGAUAAGAAAAUUGAGUAAUUCGUCCUCGCACCAAUAAGCCAAUAAUUAUAAAAAUUUAAUCUGUUCUCCAACCAUUAACCCGAUAACUCAUCCAUAAGAAUAAUCAAAGAUUGAAAAAAAAGGAAUCAAAAGAAAUAAGGAGAAAACUGAUUAACAACAUAAAUAUACAACCAGCCGUAGAGUUCCAUGUUAUAGCGGACAAAGAAAAUAGAAAAAAACUCAAAUAUGUCAUCGAAUUAUAGAAAAUGGUUCAUUUAUGUCAUUCAUUAUAAGUUGGAAAAAGGCUCAAAUAUGUCAUCGAUCUUUGAGAAAAGGCUAAUCUAUGUCAUUCAUUUAAAGUUUGGCUCAUUCAUGUAGUUGCCGUUACAAAAAAGGCUCAUUUAUGCCACUUUUUAGCAAUCUAGUUUGGUGAUUUUUGAGAAAACCAUUUUGUACAUGUGGUCAACAAUGAUUCAUCCACUUCAUUAAUUAAAUAAGACCAAAAAAUUAAGAAAAAAGGCUCAAAUAUAUCAUUGAACUAUUAGAAAUAGCUCAUUUAUGUCAUUAGUUAAAAGUUUGGCUCAUUCAUGUCAUCGCCGUUAUAAAAUCAACUUAUCCAUACGAUUACUUUUUAAUGGUGAAUUUUCAAAAAUAGCUUUACCACGUGAUUUGUAAAGGCUCACAAAUUUUUUCAGAUUAUGCUUUACAGAAAGAUAUUAGCUAUAGUCUUCAGCUUUCAGAUUUCUGAUUUAAGAGUGAGUCAUUUCUACACUUAGAUAGUAUGAUUUAAAGAGAGAAUACAAGUACAAAUUUUAGAACUAAAUGUUAUGUCUCACUAGAUUUAUAAAGUAUGAUUUGCUUCUUAUUAUUAAACAUUUCAAUUUUCAGAUAUUUCAGUUUAUGUGAGUCAUUUUCAUUUAGCAUGCAUUGUUUUACAAAUUAUGAUGAUGAGAUAAUGUUUUACUUAUGCAUUCACCCCCAUAUACUCAGUACAUCCUCAAAGUAUUGAUCCACAUAUACGUCUAUAUGCUACAUUGUCUCAUAAUGUAGGUAUGAGUUGUAGCACGCAUACUAUAUUCAGACAGUUUGCAGCUUCUAGUCAGUAGGUGAUGAAUCCUUUUGAAUCAAGGGCUCAAUUUAGUCAUAUAAUUUGAGUAAUAUUUUAUUUUUGUUUAUUCAGUCGUAUUAAUUUGGAAUAGUUGUGGGUUAUGUACCGGCUACCUAUAGUCAAUACUAGUAGAGACUUCAUAGACAGUCAGUAGAGUUAAUGUAUUUGAUUCCAGUGUUGUUUUGUAAAAGCUGGGCAGUAAUCAUUUUAAUUUAGUUUUGUAUUGAUCAGAUUUAGAAAAGAGUUAUCUUCCACCGAUCUUAUUCAAGUUUAUGCAUUUUAUUCAGUUGCUUAUGAGUUAUGCCAGCAAAAGGGUUAGCUUGGCAUCACUUGUGGCCCUAAGCACCGUGUGACAUCUCGGGACCCAUUUUUGGGGUGUUACAGUUCACUAUGUGGGAAUCAAAAAAUAAUUAUUGAACUGUUAAGUGUAGGAGGUGGAAAUUUGGAUGUGAUUGGAUGCUCAGAGAUCGAAAAACACCAACAAACUUAUGGACUAUCGAAAAAUAUUAUGGAAGACAUACUUGUCAAAUAGGUGUAAUCCAAGCUGAUCAUUUUAACUUGGAUUCUAAAUUAAUUGCUUCUUUGUUUCUACCUUUCCUCAGGAAUAACCCUCAAUUCAAGGUGAAAGAUGUCUAGACUACUGUUGAGGUUGAAUUAAAACGUACACCUUCCUACAAAAAGGCAUGUCUUGGCCAAAGACGUGUUUUCAAAUUCAUAUAUGGAAACUUUGAUCACUCCUUCACACAACUUUCAAUAUACAUGAAUGCACUUCAACAUUUUAAUCCAGGAAUGGCAGUGGAAUGAAUGCAUGACGAUGAAUCAACAUCAGAGGUAAAUAUUUUUCAAUAUGUGUUCUGGGCAUUUAAACCUUGAAUAAAAGGUUUUAAAAGAUGUAGACUAGUCAUCUCUAUUGGCGACACUCAUAUUUAUGGAAAAUAUGAUUUAAAUAUGUUGAUUGUUGUUACUGCUGAUCCAAAUGGGCAAAUAUUUCCACUUGCUUUUGCAAUUGUCAACAAGGAAACCAAAGACGCAUGGUCAUGGUUUUUAUCAUGCCUUGGAAUUCAUUUGGUACAUGGCGGUAGAGGUGUUACAUAUAUAUCUGAUCAUGAUCCUUGAAUACUUAGAAGUUUAAUGAAUUGGUUGAGUUACAUGAGCGGAAUGCAUAUCAUCACUUUUGUCUUAGGCAUGUGAAGAGUAACUUGCUGUCUAACUUCCCUAACAUGCAACUUGAGGGAUUAAUAUGGCAGGUUGCUAUUCAACACCAUAAAUGCAAAUUUAAAGAUGUUUAUGCAAUGUUUGAAAGAUGCUGAGCCAGGUGCAUACAAUUUCUUAAUGAAAAUUUCAUUAGAAAAGUGGAUGGUUCAUCUUGUUAGCGGUAAAAGAUGGGGCAUUUUAAGAACCAAUCUUUCUGAAUCUUUCAAUGGAUUUUUAUAAAAAUCUCGAGGUCUUCCAAUUACUGCAAUGAUUAAACUUAAAUAUGAUCAAAUUGUGGAAAGAUUUGUGUCCAGAAGCAGUAUACACAAGAGCCCAUUAAUGAAAAAGAACUAUGGCCACCUAUGGUUGCAUAAAAAAAAUCAAAGUAUGAAUUGAAGUCCAAAACCAUCAGGUGAUAACUUAUAACAGAGAAACAAGGGUAUUUGAGGUUGAAAUAUAUCAUCGUCAAGGUCGUGGUGGCAGAAAACAUAUCAUUAAAUUUAGUAGGAAUAUGUGUGAAUGACAAAAGUGGCAAGCAUAUCACAUUCCAUGUUCAUAUGUGUUGAAGGUUACUGUGCAGAUGAAUAGGGAUGUACAUGAUUUAGUCAGUGAAUAUUAUAGCGCAGUGAAAUAUUUUGAGACAUAUCGAGUGUCAUUUCAAUCACUUGGAGAUGAAGCAAACUGGCCGGAAGCGCCCUUAAAAUGGUUUACAAUGAGACAUUUAUUCAAAAGAAAGGAGCUAAAAAACUACACGUGUUUCAAAUGAGAUGGACAUUGAACAUACAAGAUACUCAAAAGCUUGUGGAAUCUAUAGAAUAACAGGGCAGGCAUAGCUGUUCGAACCAAGAACGUGCAAAUAAUAAUCGUAGAUAAUAGCUUAAGUAUAUUUGUAUUUGUAAUGUCAUAUUAUGUACUUUUUGUUAUUUUCAUGGCUUAGUUUUAUCAGUUAUUCUUAUGAAUGAACACUUAACAAUUUGAAUUCAUGGUAUCAAUGUUAUCAGGGACUGUCCACAAGCUUGAGCAAUUUGAGCAUAAUCUCUUUGAGCUGAACUAAGAUCAGUAGUUAGGAGAAGAGCAAGCAUUCUUGGAUUCAAAAUCAUACAGUAUGUAUUUAAGAGGUAGAAGUACCGCAUAUAGUUAAAUUGAUAUUGACAAUUUUUUUCAAAACAAAAUGAGAAUAACUCUUUACCUAGGAAUUUUGCAAAAUAAUCCAGCAUGCGUACUUAAUGGACUUUAAGUAUCUUAGAAAUUUUGCAGCUUAAGAAAUAAUAUAAAAUUUUCAUUGUUGAAUAAAUUGUCCAUACAAUACUCGAUUUGCUAAAUGUUUUCAUUGAUAAGUAAUUUCAUUUAGCUGCUAAUAUAAAACUGGACACUAGUUAUAGAACCUGCACUAUCUCACCCCAUCACCUAUUAAUUGACAAGAGACUUUUGCUACUCUAUAUUACUUUGUAGUUUGUCACCCAAACGUUACACUUGCAGCUGCUGACCACAAAAUCAAUAGCUGCUAGCCAUAAAGUUUUUUUUUUAAAAAAAAAAUCAGUCUUUGAUAGCUCAAGAAUUAGCUAUGAUGUAACAUCAAAUACUAGACACGCCAUUAUGAAGAGUUGUUAUCAAAUACUAAGCAAACUUUUAUCAAAUAUUAGACAUGCUGUUAUGAAGAGUAUGUAGAAAAUAUAUAUGGAUAAGUUCCAUGCUAUCUAUCAUUUUUCUAGUAAUUAUAUAUAUAUGGAUACGAGCAAGUAGAAAAUAUUAGCCGUUAUACCGUAUUGCUACAAAAUUAUGCAAAACAUCAUCUGUUAGAUAAUACAAAAAAUCAAUGAGUAUCAUAACCUCUAGGAUGGAUAUCUGCUCGAGGCCUAAGCAUGUGGGGAUGUGCGGGUUUCUCGCCGUCUAUUUCAUCUGGCCUAGUCCUCCUAAUAGUCGUAGCAUCCUGGCAUCUACCUCUGCCUGGUGGCCUAUCACGUGGUCUACCACUUCUUCUACCUCCAACACCCAAUGUAUUCUCGCCAUUAUCAUCAACUUGAGACUCAAGUUCUACACCAUUAUCAUCAACUUGAAACUCAAGUUCUAGCAUAAAAGGAACUGGAUCAGUAGAAGGCAUUCUUUGUGGAUUGGGGUCUAGAAUGAUUGGAUAGUGUCUAUAAAAAUCUGAAUCCAUAAAUUCUGUGGGUUGAUAUUGCAACACUCAGCAUUUUCCGAGCACAAUCUAAGUCCCUAUACAUGGGUGUUCACAUUUAAAAUUUCUGAAACACUUAUUAUUUUUUAGUUUAGAGCCUGUCAUUACAUAGAAAAUUCAAUUAGCUUUCCAACGAUAUAAAAUUUACCUAAAUCCGAUAACCGGGUAAGAAGUUAUGGUGAUUUUAAGUUUCAGUUGUUAAAUACCGUCAUUUUACCCAUCAUCGCGUUGUGGAGCCAGUGUAAAUAUCAAUUGUCAUUUUUCCAGUGAGGGUUCGCGAUUAUGGAGCGUGGCGCCAUAGGCCCAAUUCAGAAUUGUCAAUUUCCAGUGACCCUACGUGAUACCACCACGUCACGAUGAGUCCAUAUUUCAGAAUCAAAGGGGCACACGAUUCCGCCGCGUCGUGCCAAAGGGGAAAAUUGGGAAUUUUCAAUUAAUUUCGAGAUUUAAUUCCCAAGGGCUUUUAGGUAUUUUUCCCUCAGUCUAGUCAGCCUAAACACGAGAUUAAAGCCCUAAAUGCCCUAUUAUGCCAUCAUUUACUCACUCUUCUCAAGAAAUUAAAAUAUCCUCUCCCUAAUAGCAAAACCCUAGUUUCAAGAGAAUCAACAACAAGCUCAAGAACUCACCAAGAACUCCGAUAAAUUCAUCCAUUAAGGUAUAUUAAAUGUUCAUCCAUGGGUUCCUUUCACCCGUAGAGUCAUUAGUAGCAGUCCCUAUACUCUAGAACUGCGUAGUUAGCAUAGGAUAUGAGUAGUCACCCGUCAGAUUAGACUUGACUAUCUCGCAAAGUCACGUGUCAGUUCAGGCUUGACACCCUUAGUCCUUUGGAUAUUAUAUCAGUUUAGUGGAUCCACAUAGCCAACAUUAGUACCCGUGGCACAGUAUUAACACCCUUCCAACUGGGGUUACAGGUUGGACCACGAUUAGCUCAGAUUGGGGCAUAUCGGUUUAAUGAUACCUCCCACAGUCUCAGAUACAGUCUUAGUUACAGUCUCAGUUCAGUUAUUCAGUCUUAGUGUUUCUUGAUCAAGGCAUACAGAUAUCAGUAUAUUUUCCAGUACUUCAAAGUACAGAUUUUACUCAGUCCAUGUUAUAUGUCUGGUCAUACUUCUUCAGUGUCUACAGAUUUUCAUAUAUUUUAGUAUUUAUAGACUCUCAUGCAUAUAAAGUAAUUACAUGCUUUAUAUAUCUCUAGUAGCUAUAGGAUUCAUGUCCUAUACUCAGAACUCCAUGCUUUACAUGUAUAUCCAAAUAAUUUAUUACUUCUAUUCAUGAAACCUUGCAUAUCAGCCUACCUAAUUUAGCAUACCAGUACAUUCAAAGUACUGAUCACAUACUUUUAUUUUACGCUAUGAUGUCUCAUAUCAUAGGUUUGCUGCUCAGUUCUCGAAUCGCACCUAGAUUCUCAGAUUAUCAGCAACACAGUAGUAGUGGUGAGUCCUCCUUAUCUGAGGACAGAUUACUUUACUUCAUGUCUUUAUUUCAGUAGUUAGUAGAGUUAGUUGGGGGCCUAUCCCAUCAACUCUCAGUCAGUCAGUCUUAGAGGCUUUUCAGACACUACAGUCAGUUAGUUAUUCAGUUUAUCAGUAUUUUCUUAGAUUCAAACAAUUUUUUUUCCUAGAUUUAUAUUUUAGUUUUGAAUUCAUAUAUUAAAACCUUAUGGCAUUUCAGUUAUUUUCCAUAUUCAUGACUAUAUUAUUCAGUGCUCACAGCAGGUACCAGCUCAUGGGUUAGUUUAUGGUCCCUCAGUACCGUAAGCACCGUGUAAUGACUAGAGGGAAGUCUAGGGUCUUUACAAACUUGGUAUCACAGCCUAAGGUUUUAAAGUGUCCUAGGAAGUCUGAAAGCCGUGUUAAGUAAAGUUUUGUGCAUGGGUGUAUAGCGUACCACACUUAUGGAUGAGAGGCUACAAGGCAUUUAGGAAAAGUUUCCCUUCUUUCAGUAUUCUUGUCGUACGAGUGAUCAUGAGCUCAAGUUAAACUCUUAGUCUAAUUCAUUUCCUCCUUUCAUUUACAGAACAUGCCUCCUAAUAAGAACGAAAGAAGAACAGGCACUCAGCCAGCCUUUCAGCCCGUCAGGAAGAUCCUUUGGACAAGUAUGUCUCUCACACAGAAUUCAGAGCUACGUUUACUACUUUAGUGAACUCUGUAGUAACAUAGAAUGAAUGCCCAGCUACUGUUCUGGCCAAUCUAGUGGCCAAUACUACUGCAACCAAUAUUCGAGACUUUACCCGGAUGAAUCCCCCUUCUUUCAUAGGGUCCAAGUCUGAAGAGGAUCUACAAGAAUUCUUAGAUAUGGUUAAGAAGGUAACAGAUACUAUGGGGGUGAUGUCUAGUCAGAGUUCUGAGUUGGAUACAUAUCAAUUGUUGGAUAAAGCCCAUACUUGGUUUAAACAGUGGAAAGUUGAUAGAGGUGUUGAUGCAGGCCUAUAGAAUGAGAAGAGUUUGCCACAGCUUUCUUAGACAGAUUCUUUCCAUUAAAGUUGAGGGAGGCCAAGGUAUUAGAAUUUAUUAAUUUGAGGCAAGGAAGCAUUUGUGUGAGUGAGUAUUCUCUCAAGUUCACUCAGUUAGAUAGAUAUUCUUCUCAUGUGGUAGCUGAUAGUAGGUCCAAGAUGAGCAAAUUUGUGUCUGGCAUAUCUGAUAGUGUGGUCAAGGAGUGUGGGACCGCAGUGCUGAUUAGUAAGGUGGACUUGUCUAGAUUAAUGGUCCAUGCUCAACAGAUAGAGAAGCAAAAUAUUAAAGAGAGGGAGAGGGGAAACAAGAGAGCUAGGACGGGUAGUUUUACUUUUUUUCAGCCAAAGUCAGAGGGUGGUAACCAUCCUCAGUUUCAUCACAGGUUUUCAGCCCUAGUACCUUCUUUAGCCAAUGCCCCAAUACCUAAAUUCAGAAAUGAUAAUAGGGAUAGAGCACCAGGUUCUAAGUCCCAGAUCAGUGUUAGCAGUGCUCGUACCAAUCCUUUAUGUUAGAAAUAUGGCAGACACCAUCAGGGUGAGUGUAGAGCGGGUAGUGAUAUUUGUUUCAGGUGUGGCAAGCCAAGCCAUCAGAUUCGGGAGUGUCAGGUAGUUGCUCAGAAAGGUAGAGAUGUACGCCAACAAGUCCAGUUCCAUCAGUCAUCCAUUCCAUCCGGUCGCCCAACUCAGUAGGAUGCUGCUUUCAGUGCUACCAGUGGUCAGCGUCUGAACCACUUAUAUUCUCUUUAAUCCCGCCAAGAUCAAGAAAAUUUUCCUGAUGUAGCUACUGAUACGUUGCAGGUCAUUCACUUACAUAUUUAUUAUUUACUAGACCUUGGAGCUUCUCUCUCUUUUGUAACUCCAAAUAUAGCCAUCAAUUUUAGAGUUAGUACCGACACUCUAGUAGAGCCCUUUUCAGUGUCUACCCUAGUAGGUGUUUCCAUUAUAGCCAGGCAGGUAUACAGGAACUAUCCAGUCAUAAUAUCUCAGAAAGUUAACUCAGUUGAUCUCGUGGAGUUAGAGAUAAUGGAUUUUGACGUUAUUCUCGACAUGGAUUAUCUCAACUCAUGUUAUGCCUCUGUUGACUGUAGAAACAGAAUAGUUCAUUUUCAGUUCCCAAAUGAACCAGUCCUUGAAUGGAGGGGUAGUACUACAUCUCUUAGGGAUCAGUUGAUUUCGUACCUUAGAGCGAGAAAGAUGAUAUCCAAGGGUGGUGUAUACCAUCUUGUGCGAGUUAAGGACUCUAACUCAUAAUCUCCUACUCUUGACUCAGUCCCAGUAGUAAAUAAAUUCUCAGAUGUAUUUCCUGAAGAGUUCUUCCCAAAAGGGAAAACGACUUUGGAAUAAACCUUCUCCCAGAUACUCAACCUAUAUCUAUUCCACCAUACAGAAUGGCUCCAGCAGAACUCAAAAAGUUGAAAGAACAAUUAAAGGACCUCCUAGAUAAGGGAUUAAUCGGUCCAGCAUCUCCUCGUAGGGCGCACCUAUCCUGUUCGUGCAUAAGAAAAACAGUUCCCUUAGAAUGUGCAUUGACUACCGCCAGUUGACCAAGAUCACAGUCAAGAAUAAAUACCCACUUCCUAGAAUCGAUGACUUGUUUGACCAACUUCAAGGUGCCAGUUACUUUUCCAAGAUAGACCUCAGAUCAGGCUAUUAUCACCUUAGAGUCAAAGAAUGUCAUAUUUCAAAAACUGCUUUCCAAACUUGGUAUAGUCACUUCAAAUUUCUAGUCAUGUCCUUUGGUCUUACCAAUGCCCAACAUCCUUCAUGGGCUUGAUGAACUGAGUGUUCAAAUAGUACUUGGACAUGUUCGUCAUAGUCUUUAUUGAUGACAUUCUUGUUUAUUCUCGUAGUGAAAGUGAUCAUGCGGACCACCUUCGAAUAGUACUUCAGACUCUUAGAGUUCACCAGUUGUUCGGUAAAUUCAAUAAGUGUGAAUUCUGGCUAAGAUCAGUAGCUUUCCUUGGCUAUAUUAUUUCUGGUGAUGGCAUUAAGAUGGAUCCUCAAAAGACUGAAGUGGUGAGAAACUGGCCUAGACCCAUCUCUCCAUCAGACAUCAGGAGUUUCUUAGGUUUAGUUGGCUAUUAUCGUCAGUUUGUUAAAGGAUUUUAUUCUAUUGCGUCCCCCAUGUCCAGAUUGACUCAGAAAAAAGUCAAGUUUCAAUGGUCAGAUUCUUACAAGAAGAGUUUUCAGAAGUUGAAGACUCGACUCACCUCAGCCCCAAUUCUUACUCUACCAGAUGGUUCUGAUGGGUUUGUUGUGUACUAUGAUACAUCCAGAGUAGGUUUGGGUUGUGUCCUCAUGCAGAAAGGUAAGGUCAUAGCCUAUGCCUCCAGAUAGCUCAAGCCCUAUGAAAAGAAUUAUCUGACUCAUGAUCUUGAGCUAGCAGCUGUAGUGUUUGCCUUAAAGAUUUUGAGGCAUUACUUGUAUAGGGUGUAUGUAGAUAUGUUCAUAGAUCACAAAAGUCUUCAGUAUGUCUUUUCUUAGAAAGAUUUAAAUUUACGUCAGAGAAGGUGGUUAGAGUUAUUAAAACAUUAUGACAUAAGUGUUCUGUAUCAUCCAGGCAGGGCCAAUAUAGUGGAAGAUGCUCUCAGUAGAUUGUCUAUGGGUAGUGUAGCUCAUGUGGAGGAUGGUAAGAAGAAGUUAGCUCGGGAAGUUCAUCAGCUUGCCCGACUAGGUGUUCACUUAGUCGAUUCAUCAGAAGGUAGUAUAUGGGUACAGAGUAUCUCAGAAUCAUCUCUAGUUUCUGAGGUAAAGGAAAAGCAGGAUAGAGAUUCCAAUUUAGUUAAGUUGAAGAAAUCAGUCAGAGAUCAGAAAGUGGAGGUUUUCUUCCAAGGGGGAGAUGGUGUGUUGCGCUAUCGGGAUAGAUUAUGUGUGCCUGGUGUAGAUUAUUUGAGGAAAUGAAUUCUUGCAGAAGUGCAAGGUGCACAUUAUUCUAUUCAUCCAGGGGACACCAAGAUGUACUGUGACUUGCGGGAGAUAUAUUGGUGGAGUGGGAUGAAGAGAGAUAUUGUAGAGUUUGUAGCUAAGUGAUCUACAUGUCAGCAAGUUAAGAUUGAACACCAAAAUCCUAGUGAGUCCGUGCAGGAGUUCAGUAUUCCCAUGUGGAAAUGGGAAGAAGUGAACAUAGAUUUUGUGAUAGGUUUGCCUCAUACUCGUCAUCAACAUGAUUCUAUUUGGGUUAUCAUAGACAGGAUGACCAAAUCAGCUCAUUUCUCUCCAGUCCAUACCUAUAUUCAGCUGAGGACUAUGUCAAUCUAUAUCUCAAGGAGUUGGUUAGGUUGCAUGGUGUUCCCUUAGCUAUCAUCUCGAAUAGAGGUACCAAGUUUACCUCUCACUUCUAGAAAGCAUUCCAAAAGGGUUUUGGUACCCAAGUCUACCUCAGUACAGCCUUCCACCCUCAGACAGACGGUCAAGAAAAAGGACCAUUCAGAAUCUUGAGGAUAUGCUGAGAGCAUGAAAAGUUGGAUUUAAAGGUAGUUGGAAUAACCACUUACCUUUGAUUGAGUUCGCAUACAAUAACAAUUAUCAUUCCAGUAUCCGUAUGGCUCCAUUUGAGGCUCCCUAUGGCAAGAGAUGUAGAUCUCCAAUUGGUUGGUUUGAAGUAGGUGAGGCUGCAGUAGUAGGGCCUAACUUAGUGUUUGAUGCCUUAGAGAAGGUUCAGUUAAUUAGAGAAAGGCUUAGGGUUUCCCAGAGCCGACAUAAAUCGCAUGCAGAUAUGAGAAGAAAAGAUCUUGAUUUGAGGUCAGUGAUUUUGUGUACCUGAAAAUCUCUCCCAUGAAGUGAGUGAAGAGAUUUGGCAAGAAAGGGAAACUCAGUCCCCGAUAUGUCGGCCCCUUCAUAAUUCUCAGUCGUUUUGGAAAGUUAGCUUACUAGCUUGAGUUGCCUUCAGAUUUAGUCUCAGUACAUCCGGUGCUUCAUGUCUCAUUGUUGAAAAAGUAUAUUGUUGAUUCAGCUGUAGUUGUUCCCUUAAAGAGUGUAGAUAUUCAGAAUAGUCUUUCCUAUGAGAAAGUUCCAAUCGAAAUUCUCGAUCAUUAAGUUUGUAGACUAAGGAAUAAAGAAGUUCCACUAGUCAAAGUUCUUUGGCAGAACCAGUCCGCUGAGGGAUCCACUUGGGAAGCAGAGGCAGAUAUGCGGACCAAGUACCCUCAUCUUUUCUCCGUGAAUGCAGAUUCAGUUUAAGGUACCAAUCCUCUUAAGAUUUUUCUCUAUUAUGCUCAAUUUCAGCCGCACAUCAUGUUCAUGUCAGUCGUGCAUUCAUGAAUCAGUUCAUUCAUGCAUUCCAUGCAUCAGAUAUGUAUAUUCAGUGUGUAAGCUCAGUCCAUCAUUUUCCUCAGCUUAACCAGUUCAUUCGGGGACAAAUGAUCCCAAGGGGGAGAUAUUGUAACACCCCGCAUUUUCCUAGCAUAAUCUAAGUCCCUAUACAUGAGCGUUCACACAUAAAAUUUCUGAAACACUCAUUAUUUUUCAGUUUAAAGCCUGCCUUUACGUAGGAAAUUCAAUUAGCUUUCCAAUGAUAUAAAAUUUGCCUAAAUCUGAUAACCGAUUAGAAGUUAUGACAAUUUUAAGUUUCAGUUGUUAAAUACCAUCAUUUUACCCAUCAGCGCGUUGCAGAGCCAGUGUAAAUAGCAAUUAUCAUUUUUCCAGUGAGGGUCCGCGAUUAUGGUGCGUCGCGCCAUAGGCCCAGUUCAUAAUUGUCAAUUUCCAGUGACCCUACGCGAUACCACCGCAUCGCGAUGAGUCCAGAUUUCAAAAUCAAAGAGGCACCGCGAUUCCACCCCGUCGCGCCAAGGGUGAAAAUCAGGAAUUUUUAGUUAAUUCCGAGAUUUAAUUUCCAAGGGCUUUUAGGUCUUUUUCCCUCAUUCCAGUGAGCCUAAAAACGAGAUUAAAGCCCUAAAUGCCCUAUUAUGCCAUCAUUUACUCACUCUUUUCAAGAAAUUAAAACAUCCCCCCCCCCCCUAAUAGCAAAACCUUAGUUUCAAGAGAAUCAAGAACAAGCUCAAGAACUCCGAGAAAUUCAUCCAUUAAGGUAUGUUAAAUGUUCAUCCAUGGGUUCCUUUCACCCAUGGAGUCUAAGUAUCCGAUUUUAAUUAAAAAGUUAUCAUCUUUUCAAGAUUCAUGAUAUUUAAUUGUGAUUUUAAACCAUGAGUCUCCAUGAACUUCCAUGAAUAUUAAUUUUAUACCUUGUUUUAAUGAGAUUAUCAUUGAUAUAAAUUCCCACAUGUCUCAAUAUCAUCAUUCUUCGAAUUAACUCAUGAUUAAGUGUCAUUGGUGUUGAAAUCAUGCUAUUAUUUAAAUUUUAUGCUAGUUUUUCAUGAGUGGCUUAAACUAUGAACACCAAGUGUUUGAUAAAAUGCUUACACGAAUGAAUAUUUGAUAAAGGGUUUCAUGCUAUGUCCUCUAAGCUUGAUAUUAUUUUACUAUUAUUGCUUUUGAGUCCUGGGGGUAUUGAAUACCCGAAAACCAUAGUUGUUUUAUUUGUCUAGUCUCAGUACAUUACAGAAUAGUCUCCAGAUUAUACUAUGAGCAUUAUCAGAAUAGUUAGAUAUCAGUCAUUAAACUCAGAACAGUCUAGUAUCUCAGUGUCUUUCAGUUAGGAGUAGGACUUAGCAACGAGCGAGUGUAGGGAUGGCGGCUUCCCCGUCAGAUAGGCAGAGUCAUUAGUAGCAGUCCCUAUACUCCAGAACUACGUAGCCAGCGUAGGAUAUGAGUAGUCACCCGUCAGAUUAGGCUUGACUAUCUCGCAGGGGCCACCCGUCCGUUUAGGGUUGAAACCCUCAGGUCUUUGGCUUGACACCCUUAGUCCUUUGGAUAUUAUAUCAGUUUAGUGGAUCCACACAGCCAGCGUUAGUACCCAUGGCAUGGUAUUAAUACCGUUCCAACUGGGGUUAUAGGUUAGACCCAUAUUAGCUCAGAUUGGGGCAUGUCGGUUAGAUGAUACCUCUCACAGUCUCAGAUACAGUAUCAGUUACAGUCCCAGUUCAGUUAUUCAAUCUUAGUGUUGCUUGAUCAAGGCAUACAGAUAUCAGUAUAUUUUCCAGUACUUCAGAUUAUAGAUUUUACUCAGUCCAUGUUAUAUGCCUAGUCAUACUUCUUCAGUGUCUAUAGAUUUUCACGUAUUUUCAAUAUUUACAGACUCUCAUACAUAUAAAAUAAUUACAUGCUUUAUAUAUCUCUAAUAGCUAUAGGCUUCAUGCCCUAUACUCUGUACUCUAUACUUUACAUAUAUAUCUAGAUAAUUUAUUACUUCCAUUCAUGAAACUUGCAUAUCAGCCUACCUCAUUUAGCAUACUAGUACAUUCAAAGUACUGAUUGCAUACUUUUCUUUUGCGCUAUGAUGUCUCAUAUCAUAGGUUUUGAUGCUCAGUUCUCGAAUUGCACCUAGAUUCUCAUAUUAUCAGCAGCACAGUAGCAGUGGUGAGUCCUAAUCAUUCGAGAAUAGAUUACUUUACUUCAUGUCUUUAUUUCAGUAGUUAGUAGAGUUAGUUGGGGUCCUGUCCCAUCAACUCUCAAUUAGUAAGUCUUACAGGCUUUUCAAACACUACAGUUAGUUAGUUAUUCAGUUUAUCAGUAUUUUCUCAGAUUCAGACAGUUGUUUUUCCUAGAUUUAAAUUUUAGUUUUGAAUUCAGAUAUUAAAACCUUAUGGCAUUUCAGUUAUUUUUCCGCAUUCAUGAUUAUAUUAUUUAGUGGUCACAGUAGGUACCAUCUCAUGGGUUAGCUUGUGGUCCCUCAGGACCAUAAGCACCGUGUAACGACUAGGGGGUAGUCUCGGGUCGUUACAUAUAUGGCGAGUGAGGUGAGUACUGAUACGUGAUGCACUCUGGCCGAUACAAAACUAAUUGUGUAUCAUUCAAGUUAUAUUUUGUCUCACCAAGAUAAUGCGAGCUAGAAGCAUGUGUGUUCACUGGAAUGCCACUGAAGUGUUGUCCAAAAGAACUUGAUGGCCUAUCAGAUGAAAUAUGGUCAUGAACAUGAGUCAAUCGGGUCCCUGUAGCCUCGCCUUUAUCAUAGUUGGGUCUUUCUUCCCAUCGUCUGCCUCUACACCUCAAUUUUGGCCGAGGUUCAACAUACUCAUCACCGCGAGGAUAUUGAACCUCAAUGCGGCCCCUACCUCAUUCACUCGUAACUCUAAAGGAAUUCAACACCAACUUAGAUAAUCUAUCUCCAUGCUUUAACCCCUUUUAACUCGAAGGGUUUGGAAAAUAUUGAUUUUGACUUUUUAAACUAUUUCAAAACUUUAAAGAAUUCAAGAAAAUUUUAAAACAAUCUAAGAAAUUAUAGAGUCGCCACUCAAUUUAUUGGAAAAGAAAUUAAGAAAGCUUUUUAAAACAAAUUCCUAAGUCUUAAAACAGAAAAAUACUUAGGCUUUUACGAAAAUCUUGGGUAAGAGGUUCUUAUUAAUAUUUUAGGAAGGUUUUUAAGACACCUAAAAUAUUCGCUAACUUGCGGCUAUCCAGGCUAUUUGAAAACCAUCUUUGACUAACUUUGAGAACGAGAGGUUGGUUUUUGAAAAGAAAGUGAUUUAGGACGAAACUUGUAUAAAAUAAAUUUUUGAUGACUUAGUAGAGAAUUUAACCAAGUCUAAGAAAAUAAAUAGCAAAUAAGAACGUAAAGAGUAAAGGGGAGAAUUAGAAGACUUAGGCUCGUAAGCCCAAACCCAUCAACCCUAUCCUAAUCUAAUUGGGAUUUUGGCCCAUAACCUGCCCUAAACUAUUUUUUCGGGUUCAUUAGCCCAGAAUUGGCUUCACUUGUAUUAAAAUACAACUUUGGUUUCGAGGCUCCAAAUGAAUGAAUAAAUAAAAAGAAGACAAUAAUAAAAAUCGAGACUUUUCAAGUCUCUUAGUGACUGCAUCAAUGGGUUUUGACCCAUUUUCCUCCUUCAUCUAUCUUCUAGCACUCGCAUGCCAUAUAGUCGACCUUGGGUUUAAACUUCGAACUUGACUCGAAGUGGUAGGCCUCAUUAGACCAUUAUGAAAUGCAAGAGGAAAGGAGUCCAUUUGAACUCAAGACAUUUUUUGCAUGCAAAGAAUAGAUAAAGAAAUUAAUAUACAUUCAAGGCGUAAAAGUGACAUAUUUCAAAGAAAAAGAAAAUAUCAAGAACUAGUUUUGAAUUACAAUGAUAAGCACACUUGCACACGUAUAACAAGAAUGUGAGUCAACAGAUAAAAUGCAAAGCAAAGACACCCACUUACAUACCUCAUGCUUUAUGUUCAUAUUAAGAAUGAAUAAAGGUAAAAGGAAGAAGGCCAUAUUCAAUGAAUUCAAACAACGCAAGCUUGCGAAAGUAAAGGGAUGAGGCAAUAAGAAAAAUAACCAUGACUUCUAAAAUUAAACAAACAUAGAAACUAAUCCAUAUAACAAAAUAAAAUAAAGGCUAACUUUUCAAGAAAGGGAAUCUUUAAAUUUCAAUUAAAGCAACAUUAACGAAGAUUCAUACAUUUAAAUUACAACUAACACUUUAGGAAAAAAUGCGUAACGACCUAUGGUUUAUCUUUCUAAGACAUCGUUGAUUCUCUUUUGAUAUUAUGAAUUAAAGAGAGACACAAAUCAAGUCUUUACACACACAAAGAGCACAUAUAACAAUCCAAAUGAGGNNNNNNNNNNNNNNNNNNNNNNNNNNNNNNNNNNNNNNNNNNNNNNNNNNNNNNNNNNNNNNNNNNNNNNNNNNNNNNNNNNNNNNNNNNNNNNNNNNNNNNNNNNNNNNNNNNNNNNNNNNNNNNNNNNNNNNNNNNNNNNNNNNNNNNNNNNNNNNNNNNNNNNNNNNNNNNNNNNNNNNNNNNNNNNNNNNNNNNNNNNNNNNNNNNNNNNNNNNNNNNNNNNNNNNNNNNNNNNNNNNNNNNNNNNNNNNNNNNNNNNNNNNNNNNNNNNNNNNNNNNNNNNNNNNNNNNNNNNNNNNNNNNNNNNNNNNNNNNNNNNNNNNNNNNNNNNNNNNNNNNNNNNNNNNNNNNNNNNNNNNNNNNNNNNNNNNNNNNNNNNNNNNNNNNNNNNNNNNNNNNNNNNNNNNNNUAAGUACAUCUUUUAAGCAAAGAUUGAAACUUUAUCUAUAAUAAUCGAAGAAUAAAGUCAAAAAGGAGAAACAAUCAAUAUUAACUAUUCUUUUCAACAUAAAGGAAACAACUUUACAUGCUAAAUGAAUUUAAACAAAGCAUAAGUAUAUAUCUUUUAAGCAAAGAUUGAAACUUUAUCUACAAUAAUCAAAGAAUAAAGUCAAAAAGACGCAUACAACUAUUGCUAGCUCAUUUUUAUACCAUGAACAUGAAAAUAACCGUGAUAUCGAUACUACAACAUCCUAUGGCCUUCAAGGCUGUCUACAACAAACAAUUCCAGUAAACAAAAUUAUAAGUACGAACUACAAAGAAGAAAAAGAUGAAGAAGAAAACAAUAAUAAAACUAAAAAAAGGUGUGUUUACCUUUUUUGGUGCAGCAAAAUGGGACUAUAAGUUUUUUUCGGAGUCUUGAUCACCACCGAAAAACUUUCAACUCGAGAACUUCGAUUACCCCACGAAUUUCAUGGAAAAGAAAAUUUUUUACUAAAAUAAAAACUCUUCUUUGCUCAAAGUUUUUUUUCCAACCUCGAGACUUGGUCUUUCUACUAAAAUAGUGAUAGUAUUUAUAUGAAAGGAUGGGGAUUCCAUUUUUUUCAUUCACCAAUGUAGGAGAAAGAAUUUAGGGGUGUUUUUGGAAUUUUAAAAUUGAAUAUAAAGUGAGGAAGAAAUUGUAUAAUGUAAUAUAUUUUUUGAAUUUCAAAAUUGAACAAGGACAAGGUUGAGGGGGGAAUUGUACAAUGUAGUAGAAUGUACUUGAAUUUGGAAAAAGAAAAGGUUUGAAGGGGGAGGGAUUGUACAAUGUAGUAUAAUUUUUGAAUUUUAAAAUUUAAAUUUGGAAAAAGAAAAAGGUUUGGGGUAAAUUGUACGAUGUAGUACAAUUUUUGAAUUUCAAAAUUGGAAAAGGACAAAGUUGGGGAAAAUUGUACAAUAUAGUACAAUUUUUGAAUUUCAAAAUUUGAAUUUGGAAAAAAGAAAAGGUUGGAGAAAUUGUACAAUGUAGUACAAUUUUUUAUUUUCAAAAUUUGAAUUUGAAAAAAAAAAGAAAAGGUUGGCAGGAUUUGUACAAUGUAUUAUAAUUUUUAAAUUUUAAAAUUGGAAAAGGACAAAGCUGAGGAGGAAAUUGUACAAUGUAGUAUAAUUUUUUAAUUUCAAAAUUGGAAAAAGGACAAAGUUGAGGGGGAAUUGUACAAUCUAAUACAAAUUUGAAUUUUUUUUGUGGACACUGGGUAGAAGUUAUGAAAGUUUUUGGUAAUUUUGGGGUUAUUUAAAAUGUAACCCAAUUGAGAUUUAAAAUUUAGCCAAAUUUAUAAAUUUUGACUAAAUCAAAAAUCAAUUGGCGGAUUGCAUUUCAAUUAUGGCCAAUUUGAUUUUAGUUAUGACCAAAUCUAGUAGAUCGGCUAAAUUAAAUUGAAAUUCGAUACGAAUUAAUACUUUGUUUAAUCCCGAGCUUCUUGAUGAGAUAAAACCAAAUAAAUAUUCGUUCAAAUAAAUUAUUUUUAGGAACAAAAUAUAUUCAAAUCAUGGUCUUACCCCUUUGAAUUAAUUUUUCAAGAAAAGGCUUGAUUAAAAUUUGAUAUCUCGUAAAAUAGAUAUUUAUAUAACAAACUUAUUUAAUUUUGUAUAAUUGAAUAAGAUAAUAUAUAAUCGCUACUUAAAAUAAAUUUUUUUUUUUUUUGAUAAAUGCUUUGAAACGCCUUUAUCCGAAAAAAUAAAAAUAUUAUAAUUUUAUUUAAAAUCGAAGAAGCUCGGAAUUAAACUUAGUUGUGGAGGGCAAAAAUUAAGUGUCAACACUCCAAAUUCACGAAGUUUAUUAUUGUCUCUAUCCCGUACGCUUAAACUUGUUCUAUAUAUCUGAUGCAAAGUCCUAGCCUACAAAAUAAAUGAUUAAACAAACAUUAAUAUGAUAAUCUAUAACAACAUUAAGAUGCAUAAACUCUAAACAACUUAGUUUACACUUCCUAAUUACCUAUUUUUUAUUUUUCAAUCAAUUAAACUUUCAAAUAACAACCUCAGUAAGUAGCAACUACGUCAAAAGCUAACACAUUGUGAUUUAUAACACAAAAUGUCUUUUAUAUUGUCAAACAACACAUAACGUCAUGGCCUACCAAAACUUACAUAAGGAAGCUAAAACUACAACAUAUUUAUGUAGAUAAUUAUAAGGUAAUAUUGUACCAAAUAUUUGUAUUUGCCUGCAAAACUCUGAUAACCUUGUCUAAAUUGAUGAGAUGGAUUAUUGAUCAAAUGACGAGUAAUCGUGUUAUACCACUGCACAUAUUCAUUGUCAUCUUUGAGACAUCAGGUUCAGCAUUGUGAUUUUGUUUAUCCCUCUAGAUUUCAACCUCUUUGAUAAAAAAAUAAUGCCAAUUAAAGUUAGUUCUACCUCUCUGAUCCAACUGAAAAUGUUUGGGAUCCCACAAUAUUCUACUUGGAAUAUUCUAAAUCAAUCCAAACUGACAUAGUACCCUAUCUGGAUAGUGCCACUCAACUGCAUCCCAAGAUAUUACGGGUAUAAUAGCACUCCAAACACUGAAACCAUUCACACAAUAAUCUGGUAAUGUAGCAAAAACAUCGGGACUGUAUGGCUGCCACGCAAACUAUAUAAAUAUAAAUUUAUUUAGUUUUUACGACUUAAAAUAUUAAAAUAAGAUAGAUAAAGCUAUUAUUCAAAAGAAAAAAAUACCUGGUGUUCUAUAAGUAAAUCUAGUUGAUCACGAAAUAAAUAUAAUAGGUGAGGUGCUUCUGUAUCGUGGCUUAACCAAUUAGACCACACACGAGCACGUGGUGGUUCUAGAAGGAUAGAAAUAAGCCACUCGUCAACUAGAAGAUUAGGAUCUCUCCGUGGCCUGAGAGGCAAAAUCCUCUCAUAUAUCCAUACCUUCACAUAUUUAUAUAAAUACAAUAAAUAAAUAUUAAAAAUUUAUUUCUUUAAGGAAAUAAAUUAAAGUAGCUAACCUGAAGUAAAGGUAAAAAACCACCAAUGACUCUAAUUCCCUUUUGCGAUGCACAACAAAGAUAUCUAUAAAGUAUUGCAAGUGUUGCUGCACCAGAAACAUAUUGACCAACUUUGGACAAAUUCGCAAGCAAAUGUAGAUACAUAAACUUGACUUUGUUGCUCGAUAUAUCAACAGAAACCAUGCCUCCAAUGAUCUACAACAAGUAAAAACACACCCGUUGUUGAACAUCAACCUCACAACUUGCAUCAGUAAUCAAAGGAAGAUUUGUAAUAUGUUUAAUCAAAGAAGUCAUAAGCAAUCUGCCACCCUGAAAUUCUCGAUCAAUAUCUACCGCUGUCUAACCAAGAAGAUCAACUAUACGUGUGUGCCACGCUGUAGGGUCUAAGGAAAGAUUUGUUCCCGUCAUAGGUGAUCUAUCGACUGACAGCCCAUAUAAUAUAGCUACGUCCUACAAUGUAAUUGUGGCCUCUCCAAAGUUUAGAUGAAAUGUGUGUGUUUCUGGUCGCCAUCUUUCUACCAACACAAUAAUCAUAACGUGAUCAAGUGGCGUGUGUCCAGCUGCAUAUAUACCAUAAAAUCCAGCAUCGAGCAAGUAACGACACAUAUUCUCGUGUAAUGAAUUUUACUUAUGUAGUCCCAAAAAUCACCUUCUUACCAACGACAUGUCAAUGUGUCACAUGUACCAUUAUUUCAAAUAUCUUCACUACCAUGACUAAUCUGUCCUGUAAGGACAAUCGAAAUAAAUGAAUUUGGAUGCACAGUAGGUGGUGUCAUAAGACCUAAAAUAUAAAUUAUGUGUUUGUUUAAUUCAAAAAUCAUUUAGUAUGACAAGAUAAAUAGUGACAUUCACAAAGACUAUCUUAUUAAAAAGCACUAAGGCCAGACUAGAAAAAAAAUGAAGUUAACUGAUUUCUAAGAGAACUUUAAAUAAAUCAAUAUUACAAAAAUAUUCUAUAAAAUACUAUUUGUUAUAUUCAUAUUCUAUAAGAAAAAAAAAUAAUAGUAGCACAAAAAUAUUAUAACGAAAAAAAUAAAUUUGAUAAAAGAUUACUAAAUAAAUUUUAAGAGUAACUACGAAUAAUGUAAGGAUAGAGUUACCUUUUUUAAUUUGGAUGAUGAUUAAUGUUCUAAAUUCCCAUCUUUCAAAUAAUAUUGUGAAGUUUUAUACUUUAGUGUGUUAAAUAAAGUUUGUAGGGUCUUAUCUUGGAGAAAACUACAAUGGUGAAGAUGGGGGACCUCAGGUAAAGUUGAGAUUUUAUUUUAGUAAAGUUGAGAUGAAGUGAAGAUAAAGAAUCAUUUUUAAAAAUAACUCUUAAGGGUGUUUUUGUAAUUUGAUUGGAAAUGCAUUGCUAAGAUGAGUCUAUAGUGUGUGAGAAAAUGUUCCUCUAUUGUCCCAUCAAUUCAGAAAAUGACGGUCUUUUCAGAUUUUGGGAUGAAAAAUUUAUAUUGAAGGUGCAUUGAAAGAAAUGAGUCUUUCUUCAAAAUGUAAAAUUCACACAAGGCUCAUGACUACUAAUGAGCCUUUCUUUGAAAUGUUAAACAUUCACUGAAGACUCGUGAGAGUAGAGAACCUUCAGUGUAAAUACAUUUAACGGUUCGUCUAUUUUUUAACGUAAAAAUUACACACUGAAGGUGCUCCAUACACCAUGCGUUUUCACCAUUUUAGUCAUAAAAAAUAUGACAACUCCAUUUAUUGGAAUUGUCCCUUAUUUAACACUAUUUUAAUCUAAAAUUCAUAAGAAAAGCUCCACAUUAUUAUCCCUUUCCAUCUCCAAUUGAUUCCUUGGGUGCAAAAUUUUCAUCCUUCUUGAAUACUUUUCUCAAGGUGGAAAAAUUAGAUCAAUAUAAUAUGUCCAACACGUUUAAAUUUAUGUGGGUUAUUGAUCCACUUUAAUUAUUAGUUCGGCGUAUUUUGACUUAAUUUAUUUUAAUUCAUAAAAUUAGGGUUGAUAUGUCAUAAGAAAUUUUAUUAAAAUAUUUUGAACUCAGUCAAACCCCACCAUAUCAGACGAAUUUAUACUUCUCAAAGUAUAGGAUGUUUUUUGUUAGUAUUCAACUUUUUGAUUAGUAUUUUGAAGCUAAAAUCCUAAUUUUUGACAAGUCUCCAAGACAAGCCAGAAAUUAACGAGGCAUUUUUUGCCUUCAUUUAAACUCCUUCUAGUCCUCAUGGUUUUAGGUUUGGCAGCACUAUUCCAAUUAGGAAGGUGUGUUUUUAUUUUUUUAAACAUAUAGAGGGUACUAAUAUUUCUAGUCUUACAGUUAGCAAAUCCUAAUUUUUGGUUCUUAAGAACCAAAUACUUAUGACUUUUAUUUUUACUAAACAAGAAAAUAUAUCAUAUUUGUAUUAUGUCUGAAAUUAUUUUAUCCUCAAAUAUGGAAUAACAAUACAAAUUUAAUUAAUAUAAUUUUUGUAAUCAUUGAAUGGCACUAAUAUUAAUGAUUUAGUAAAUUUGUCAAGAUUCAUAAAUAAAGAGAUGAAAAGUACAUAUGUUAAGAGAAAUUAUUUUGCUCUCAUUUUGCAUGUGUUUUUUGGUGUAAAUCCUACAAAAUGCCUGGACCUGCCUAGAAUAUAAACCCCCUAUUCACUUUUUUACCUUAUCUAUAACUUCGGUUCCAUAAUAUGAUAGAUAAACUGAAAGGCAAACUAAGAAAUUAACAUUUGGAGAACAAACGCAAUAUAUUCAAUAUUUUUCAUUUGAAGUGUGACAAACAUGGCAUUGGUAUAUUUUUAUAAAUAUAAUACAUUCUUUUCAAAAGAGAAAAAGGGAUCAUGUGACAAUUGAACCACACGGGUCUACUAGAAAAGAAAAAAUCGAAUCACAAGAAUCGUAGCUUUACUCUAUAUUUCUCUAAGAGAUUAUAAUUGCAGCUCAAACUUGUGACUUUUAUAUUACAUGAUAACAACUUUACUGAUCACACCAAACCUCCCUUCAUGGGAACAGGUACUCCCAAUAGUUUUAUUUGCACUCUCCUUCAGCAUCUCAAGGUGCAGAUAACCAACACCAAUAUCAACAAACUCAUCAUGCAUUUCAUUCCACUCUAUGUUUGGGUUCCACUUUGCGUUAAUUUUUACAUUCGAGAUUUUACUUGGUGGAUAUAUGCUCAAUGGUGGAAUAUAGCUUCUCUAAAUAUACUUUUGACUAUACUUUUCAAGCGAUUUCUAGAAUUAGUAUAGCGUUAGGCCAAAUUUUUUAUAUUGAUUUAAUUCUAGUUUCAGCUAACAAUUGACGAAUAUCAUAAUAAUUAUUCCAUUCAAACAUUUAUAACAUUCCCCAUGCAUAAUACAUUAUUACAUAACACACUCAAAAACCUUCUACAACAUAGCAAACCCUAAUUGCUAGAAAAAGACAAAACCUUCCUAGGAAUAUUUAUGGUACUCUUUUGCAAAAGAGUUUAUUAGGACACACCAAAUAGGAAAAUCAGAAAUUGACUAGUAGUGCAUAGUCUUAUUAUUUUUGCAUAUUUUUAUUAGGACACACCAAAGAGGAAACUGGGGAUUGAUGACUAGUAAUAGUACUUGGUCUUAUUAUUCUUAUAUGUUCUUGUUUUAUUAUGCAUCCAAGAUAAUCUAUUAGGGUUUAAUUUCUUGGGAAUCACUAUCAGUAAUCCCAAUAGUUUCAUCUUCAGUUUCCUUGAUCAUCAUCUCAAGGUGCAUAUCAAUACCAAUAUUAGCAUACUCAGUUGGCAUUUUGUCCUAAUCUAGGGUUGGCUCCCAAUCA